RNAcentral lists this long non-coding RNA (48966 nucleotides) under Elaeis guineensis (African oil palm). RNAcentral describes it as "long non-coding RNA (EGUI_LNC036044)". The record is from RNAcentral. Lineage: Eukaryota; Viridiplantae; Streptophyta; Magnoliopsida; Arecales; Arecaceae.
GGGGGAGAGAGGUGGACGAAGUCCUCCAACUCCACUAUUUUGAAUGAAACAGGCGCCAAGAGCCUUUUUUCAUUUUUCGAAGACUUAAGUGAAGUCGGCAAGCCAUGUUGGCUUCACUUAAGUCUUCAAAAAUUAAAAAGGGGUCUCCGACCCUUGCUUCAUUCGAAAUAGGGGAGUUGGAAGCCUCUCUCUCUCUCUCGCCCCACCCCCCCCCUUCCUUUCCUUUUUCUCCCUCCNNNNNNNNNNNNNNNNNNNNCUCUCUCUCUCUCGCCACCCCCCCCCCCUCCUCCUUUUUUUCUCCCUCUCCCCCUCCCUCGUUGGUUUCUCGAACUAAGGGGUGGAACCAUGCUGGUCUGCCCCAAUAUGGCUCAAUAUGGCCCAAACUGGAUACCACCUUGACUCCACUAGACAAAGGCAACAAUUUUUGUAAUCAUAUAAUAUAUAUCAAUAUAUUUAUCUUUCUUUGUAUCUACAUAUCAUAUCUUCUAGGCAAGCAGCUUACAUCUUUAAUAUUUCAACUAAUAAUUAACAUGGUUGACAAAAAAGACAACACCAAAUGAGCUUCGAGAACUAGGAUAUUAUAAUAGUCAAAAAGGAAAUUGCAUUAACCAAGAAUUUGACUAGAUAUAGGAUAUUUACCAGCAAAAUUGCUUCCACACUUGUACGCAUACCUUCUUUCAUGUAACUGCCAUCCAAAACAAAGAGGAAUCAAAUGUCAACCACAUAGAAGCAACAUUCUUAAUCCUUCCCAUAUCCAAAUUGUCUUGUCAACAAUAUGAGGUUUCAGCCAACAUCAACUUCUACAACAUUUGGGUAAAUAAAAAAGAAACCUAUCUCAGUAAAGGAGUGUCUGGACCAGAAAAAUCAUAUUUAAUGUACUAUGGCCAUAUAUUGGGUACUUAAAUUAUUCAAUAAGCACAGAAUUUUAUUUUAUCAAAAAAAUCUACUUUGAUUAGAAGUUCACGAGUUCUAUAAAAAUUCUAUGCCUUAGUCAUCUUCAAUUACUAGCUGCAAGCAAACAACUAGCUUCCAAAGAGUCUCAACUUCUCAAUAUCCUAUACUCUUUGAGCUCAAUUCUGCAUCCCAAAUUAUUAGUUUCAACAAAUACCAAAAGAAAAAUCACCAAUUUUGUUGUCUAAAUAAGCAACAAGUUAUUUUUUGUCAAUAAAUGAAAACGACAUGAUGGGGCCAUGAGCUCUAUUAUUUAGCCAUGGCAUCUCUCCAGCUUCGUCAACCGCCACACUUAAGAAUAUGCAAUAUGUUUUACAUAACAAUCCUACAAGAACAAGCAUUUAAAAGAUGUCAUUGUUAACCUACAAGCUUAGGCAAUUAACAGAAUUUGAAAAAUUUAACCUACUACAUGACACAACUAACAGCAUCUUAUGUAUGCAUAUGCUGUUCUAAACAACAGAUCGACACAUACUGAUAUGGUUGUAACACAGAAACACAAAAGCAUAGAAAAAAAUCAGAGAGUUAACAGGAAACAAAAUUGGGCGAGUCUGAAUAUGCUCAAGAAAGACUAAUAAAAACAAUGUUCUAUAUGCCAAUGGAAAAGCAUGGCAUCCCACAAUCACAAGUGUCGAGAUAGGAUGCAUCAGGAAAUGGACUAGAAUAGGAUGAGACAUCAACCUCCACAGUGUUGGUACAUGAGGCAUCCCAUUCCAUGGAAAACUGGGAAGGCCCCCAUCCCAAACUAUUUAAAACGUUGUGUAAAAAAGGAAAAAAAGAAAGAAAGAAAAAAAAAGUUAAUACUAGCGUCAUAAGACUAUAAUGAAAAACAAUAAUGCAUAUCAGCAUAAGCUAAAGCGAAGCAACGGAGGAAGGUGUAAACACACUUGAUAUCAUCAAAUAUAAGCAGCUACUACAUGGUUCCAAUUCCCAUAUGAAAGCCCUUAUUCCAAUGUAACUUCCCCCUUCAUCACAUUAAUUUUGGAUUUUUGGAAAUCGGGAAGCAAGGGAUGCCAACAAACAUGCAUCUACUUCAUUUAAAUAUGAAAUUCCUAAUUUUACUUUUUUUUUGGGUAACUAAAUUAAAAAAAAAAAAACUUUAGAGGAAGAGGGAACAACAUUCAAUCAAAAGUCAGAUACUAUAAAGGCUUAAGUGCCUGCUAAGCUACACAGCAAAACUCAUUAUAAUUAUAAGGCAAUUCUAGGCCUCUUUAGUUAAAGAUCUCAACAACGCAACCAUAUAUUCUAACUUGAAUGAGUGCAAGAUUAACAAGGCCAGCUAGUGAAAAACUUAAAGAGAUUUUUUUUCUUUUUUCUCCACAGAUUACAGGUUUUAAGGAUCACAGGUGCCAAGCAUAGCAAAUAAUAAGUUUAGCAUUGCAUAGCUCAAUAUCAAACAGUAGAUAACAGUAACACAUUUAGAUAACAGCAAUAGAAGUAUAAGCUAUUGUAUCACAACAUGGGAGGAGAAUGAGAGCAAUUUUAAGUACUGGACUAAGGAAAGGAUUCUACAAAGUCAAAGAAAAUAUGAGACCAUGAAGCCCUAUGAUGCUAGGAGAAUAGCAUUAAGAGGCAUCAUCCUCUUAAAAUUAGAGGAAAGGGCAAUGAUUUUGCUCCAGGUCCUUUGCUCAAGUAAGAGCAAUAAAAUUUAUUAUAUUAACUGACUACUAUAUAGAGCUAGAGGGCCCUCAUAGGUAUUCUUCUAAACUUAUAAUAUGUUUUUCAAAGAAAAGAUUAAACUACCAUUACUUUCCCCAUCCAUCACUUUGAAAUCAGUUCCCCUCUCUCGUUGGUAGUUGUCUCGUUCAUCCAAACGUCGUGGGGCUUCCUCCUGCCAAGGCUCCACCUCUUCCAUCACUUCCUUUUUGACCAGCUCCUCAAGCCUUUCCGCUCAAUGGCCCACCAUCAUCAUCAACAACUAUUAUGGCUCCCCACCAAAGACUUCUACCACUCAACCCAGUAUAUAUUAGAUUUCAUUGUCGUCGCCCUACCUUAAUUCCAGCCCAUCGUCCCCCAUCAUUCACCUCUACAAGGCCCAACAGUUGACUCAUCCCAUUUCCUGCCCUGCCUCCCACACCGGCAACUCCUUCCAAGGUAUCCCCUCCAACGGACCUCUUGCACCAUCAAAUGCCCUCGCUCAACCACCAUGUCCCCAUAUAGCAACUGCUACUCUGCCACCAAGCACCAUUUCUUCGAUUCCUCCUUCUAAUGCUGCCACUACCAUGUUAUCCACUCCUUAUACUUCUCCCACCUCCUCGGCAAGGAUGCAUGGCUUCGAUUCAAGGCUAUCGAAUGCUACCUCUAUGCCAAUUAUACCACCGAGAGUGAUAAGCAUACCACCUUUUUCCUCCAUCCUGUUUGCACAACCCUUUGGAGGGUGACCACAACCAAUCAUAACAUUUGGUGGUUGCCUAUUCCUUUAUCUUGUGGCUUUCUUUUCCUAUAUCAAAUCAAGUAAACCAAUAUAGUCUUUUGAUGUAGGUGGAGAUAGAAGGAUAUAACAAAAAAAUUGGUAAGGUGCAGAGAGCGAAAGAGAGAGAGAAAGAAGUGAUGGAUGGAAAGGAAGAGUAAUUUAAGGAUUGGAAAAACAAAAAUCAACCUUUUUCUUUGGAGGGCUACAAUAGUCCAUUUACAUAAGACAAAAUAUGGUGGCUCGAGAAAAGUGAAAUAGAUCUCUAGCAAUACGAACCCCUUUUGGAUUACAUGGAAAUUCUAGUCUAGCAAAAAACAAAGUCAAAGAGUCAAAUUCCAGGGCCUGGUUGGCAAAGACAAAUUUAUAACUCUACAAAUGAUAUGGAAGAAAGGCAAUCAAAUGCUGGAGAUUCAGACUAUCAGAAAAAAUUGUCUAUUUUUCUGAUACACCACAACCGUGCCUUACUGGUUGCCGAGUUUUGUAAUAAAUUAUGUGAUUCAUAAAAUUCUUUUAAUUCAUAAAAACUGAAAAACAAGCUCUAUUGCAAACAAGGCCCACAAGAUUUUUUAUUGUAGGCUUUCAGAAAACUUAAAAGCCUACCUAAGAACCAUCUACAAAUAUCAUGGCUAAGGAAUUACAUAUUCACGUAGACAAAUCAAUACAACAAGAAAAUUCAUAAUCCAAUCACAGUUCAAGAGACACCCAUUUUUUUUUUCAAAUUACAGCUAUAAUGGAAUGAACAAACAGCUAAUUUUUCACAUGCACAUCAAGCCACGUAUAAUUGGCUAAAACGGAUUCCCACCAUGUGACAACACUAAUCCAUAGGUUCAAAUCCAUACAUAAGAACGAAAAACACACUACGUACAUUCUGUAGAAUUUUUUUUUUUCAAUAUAUUGCACACCUGAUAAUUCCUUAUCGCAGGCUAACGCGUUUAUUAACAUUUUUAAGAAGUCAAAAAACAAACGAUUUUGAUUCUAGAUUCUCUGUCUCCAAGCCCAAACGUUUCGAUCUUUAUUGAAAAUCCACAAAAAAAAAUAGCAACUGAAUUCAUUCACGUCCCCAUUUUCUCCAAAUUAGAAAGAAAUAAUAGAAAAAAAGGGGAAAACCAAAUCAAGUUAGGUUUUUCGGAGUCCUUUCGAUCUAGGGUUUUAGGGAAUGGAAAGGGGCCCACUUGACUUUCAUACGAGCGAGGCGAUCGGCGACGGAGGUGUCCUUCUCCAUCUUCGGCUCCUUCGUCCCGAACGUAUAGCUCGACAGCGGGUAUGUGUUCACCACCGGCAACACUCCCAUCUUUCGCCCGCUCUUCGCCCCUCCCUCCCUCCUUCCCUCUCUCUCUCUCUCUCUCUGUCUCUCUCAGCGGACGGCGGAACGCCGGAAAGAAGUCCAAAGGAAGCGCUUUGAGCUGUUGUUCACGGAAAUGGGCAUCGUGGAGUCAUGUGUAAAAUUACUAUUUGACUCCGACACAUUUAAUACAAUGACGGUUGAGUCCCUGACUGCACACACUUAAAGCGGAGAAAACCGGAACUUGGGAAAGGCAACAGUGCUAUUAUUACUAGCCUAUAAUUAGAUUCUCAAUUAAAGUAGAAAGGUUGCUCUCAAUCUGAGCCGCCGGUCUGUCCUUCUUGUCAAACUUGCAAUCCUUGGCCAUAUGGUUAAUCCUACCACAAGAAAAAUAAUAGAUUGGUACAUGUCCAUAGGUGAAUUGCUGCUAGAACUUCCUCUUUACUUCAACGUCAAUACGAACCACUAGAGGUUCAUCAAGGUUCACCAAAACACAAGCGGUUGCAUAGUCCCGUUUCAACAAAGGUUAUUAAGCUACAAUGGUUUGUUUCCUUAUUGGGCAACCACCCAAAGGAUGACAUCUCUUUUCCAGUAUUCCAACAAGAGGUGAAAUGGUACAUCCAAAUAGUAGCUAAGUUGAUGGAAGGACGGGGGUUGUAUCUUCUUCUUCUUUCCUAUGAAUCUCCCGGUGGAUCGUGGAAUGGCCACUUUGAGUUCUAUACAUGUAAAUAGAUGAAGAAGUUUGGAAUGCUUUGAGAUCUAUAUAGAAUGUGAUUCAAUAAUUAAUAUCGUGAAAAAAGAUCAAUCAUUCCUUGAUACAACCUGAACUCUGAUUGAAGAUGACACCUUAAAUCAGAGUUUUUAUCACGGUGAACUAAAGCCCUGACCUCUUGCAAUGCAAGGAUCAGAUGCACCAACUUCCAUCACAUUAAUCUCUGUUCUAAAGCGGAAGAGAUGGGGGUUCCCACAUAGGAUUCAUCAACGUCUUCACCAAAUAAUCAUCUUUUGAUAUCCUCCUAAACAAGGCAAGCCACAAAUCCUUUCUCUGGUGUUGAAGCUUCUCAUGGUCCAACUUGAUAAUAUAAUUAAACGCAGAGCAGAACUCAUCUCCACGUCUUUUAACUUCCCAAGUAACCCGUCUUGAGUUCUCUCUAGCAACGCUAGCCCAAGAUCUUUUGUUCCUGAGGAGGGUAACCUAUAUCACACUCGCCAUCUACUAAUGCUAUCAGAAUGGUGGACAGGGAGGACUAAGUUCAGCUAGCGUUCCCAGAUUAGAAACCAUCGCCACCUCGCUGUUGUACAGGAACCAAGCCAAGCAAUCAAAUAUUCGAAUAGAGAAGCUAGAAUAAAAACAACCCAAAGAGAGACUGUGACUAGAAACUAAAGUAAUCAAACACUAAACAAGAUAGAAUUCCUUUCAGCAGGCAUGAAGAGUCCACAGUGAUUGAACACCAGAGGAACAGCCAACACCCAUAGAGCUCAGUUUGAGAAGAUCUGGGAUUAGUCCAAGCUUGAAUGCACCUUUCGAAUCGUUGCUCAGACCUUGCCAACAUCAGCAAGCUCUUUUUGAUUUCAUAGGAGGGACCAGUCAUUGAAAAGAUAAAUUCCUUUUGAGUGUAAUGAAAGCAAUAGUGCUUUUAUGAAGAUUUUUGCAUUCCUUUCCUUCCAGCAACACCAUAAUAUGGCAGCAAUGAGCAUAAGAAUUGCAGCGUGCAUAUCCUUGUAAAAAUGACAUGACAUGGCGUUUCUUCCAAGUUGUUGGAAAGAUUUUCUCCCGUUUGACACCUGAGUAAAGAAAUCUUUAAGGAAGCACUAGAAGUUUUACCAGAAUUGCUGAGCUUCAAAUAACUUUCACACCUAGUUGUAAACCAUCAUUACAUCUCACUUUCACUUAGUCCACUAUUAUAUUCGUAGUAAUUCAGAUGUGCAAAUUAAUGCAAGCUCCAAACGAGAAAUAUCUGACGGCUGUCGAGCAUAUCCUUCAAUUGCUCGAGGAUACAAUUACAUGGGAGUUUGUUUUGCUUGAAACCAGGCUCACUUGAUCUUUCUGAAAUGAUGAUGCUGAUUGGGUUGGGUUAAGUGAUCCACCAAAGGAUUCUGCAUUUUUCUUCGCCCAAGUACCAUCUUAUGGCCAUCCUAUUUUUAAGGCACUCAUGGGGGCUGGAAAAUUUCAACGUGCAGGACUCCAAGACUCUUGGAUUAUAACUAGAGUGGAUUAAUAAUUAAAUAUUGACCACUAUUAGAGUCUUAAUUAUUAAUUUAUGUUGUUAUAAUGACAAGUCAUAUAUAUGAUGAGAAUAAGGCUCGUCAUUACAAAUUCAUGCUGUUUAUGGAGUUAAAAUGUUUUUAAAAUUUCAAAUCUUUGUACCAGCUAAUAAAAGUACCAGCCGUUAAACCUUGCUAUAUGAUGAGAUUUAUUUAGAUAAAUAUAAAGUCAAGGGUCUAUUUGGCGUCACUUUCUUAUUUUUAUUUUUAAAGAUGAAAAAAUAUUUCUAAGACAGAAAACACAUUUGGCAUAAUUUUAUUUUUUUAAAAAUAAUUUUACUACUUCUCGAAAAAAUGAAAUUGAGAUAUUCUUUCUUUCAAUAUUUUCAAAAAUAAAAAAUUAUAUUAUACCAUCAUCUAAGCAUCAUCGUCAUCACCUUCACCACUACCAUCAUAACUGCCUCACCAUCUUUGCUGCCAUCAAUCCCAUGAUUAUUAUUGUCACCACAUCAAAUACCAACUUUCCAGCUACCAACUUUUCAGCUACUAACACCGUCAUUAUUGCCUCCACCAAUUCCACUACUGCCGCAACUAUCCUAAAGCUGCUUCCAUCAAGACCAUAAUUACCAUAACAACUAUUGUUACUGUCUCUGCUAAGACACUAUUGUCCCCCAUAUUACUACCACUAUUCACCACCAAUAACAUCAUGGACAUCGCUGCAUCAAUUAACACCAUCACCGUCUCACCACUAUUACUGCCGCAUACCACUGAUAUCACUAUCAAUGUGCCACUUUCACAUCUACCACCAUCACUGUCACAUUUAUAUUUUAAAAAUAAUUAAGUAUGCCAAGCAUAUUUAUAUUUUUAAAAUUAAAAAAGGGAAGUGAUGCUAAUUUUAAUAGCAAAGUGAUCCCAAAGUUAGCACUCAUCUACAAGCCUGGGUACAUCUGCGAGGAAUGAUGACUAAAAAUUAGUAAACAGGGAAACUCACUGAUGCCGUAUGACAAGGAAUAUUACAAAGAAAAUUACUAGGCAUAAUCCACCUUUUCCCUCCAUCCCCGUGUCGUUGUUGCGAUUGUCAACCAGGUGCAAGCGAACCGCAAAAAUAGCAUAAAGAAUAAGCAAUUAAGCAAGGGAUGGAUGCUCAUCGCCCUUCUGCUUGUUUAUGGAUGACCGCUCGUGAUUGCACGCAGGAACUUGAAGAGUCUGCAUUUUGACGCUGCCUGGAUGAACCCAUACUCAUCAUGCAUGAAAUCGUAACUCCGUCUGCCUCACCGAAAAAAUGAUAAAAACAAAAAUAAAUAAUAAAAAGCACACAGUGGAUCACUCAUUUUUAAACACGUCAAAAUUCGUAAACUGGCUAUGUGUCAGUACUUGGGCUGUCGGGCAUGUUUCAAUGCAUUUACAAGAACUAAAAGGCUAGAUGUCUUCAUAUUUCAAAAAGCAGGUGGUCCCCAACUUGAGGGCAUGGAUGUCCAUAAGGCAGAUCUUACGUGUAAUCAUAGUUAGAUUUCUUAUAAAUUGCCAUCGCAUCCUCCAAGCUUUACUUUGGCAAGUGUGAACAUGCUUCCACCUAAGGCCAGAUUUUUCAUUUUAUGCAAGUGGUUAACAAUGCUAGUGAGACAACCUGGCUAGAUCACAAAUUGGUAAUAGAAGAUGAACCAGCCCCAGUCAUACAGAUUAAGCUGCAUAUCCAAAUGGUCAGUCAUCACAGAUAUUCUCUUGUCAAACAUCUAUUGGAAGACAAACUCCUACAUUACAAAGAAGACAAACUUUUUCUAUCAAAAAAAAAAAAAGAGGACAAACUUUGAAUUCGCUUUACCGGCAAAUGAAACAGAGAUCAGUCCGGUAGACUAGAUGAAUGGUGCCCACUGUACUAGCAAUCCGAGGGUAGGGGAACUGGUGGUGCUUCCCAAUGGCAAACCAUGCAAAGAGAGAGUAUCUCAAGAUGUACAGACUGAAUUUGUACAAGAGAGAGCAUAAUGGAGUACUCCAGAUGGUAAAAAGGUUCGUCAAAAUUCUUUUGCAACGCUACAAACUUUGGCCAAACAAGGAAUAUUUAAGUGCUAUUUAUUUCAAAGGAAUAACUUCAUCUGCUUGUUUACAAACCUUCAUUCACGACUAGGUAACUUUUGACAUCAUCUCUAAUCUCUUUUAAGAUAUUCGAACAAUCUCUCGUCAACCCAUAACCCUGUUGGCUCCAGGCACUCCAGUGUCUCCAUGAUUGAAGCUUUGGAGCUGUUCGGCUUGAGAGAUUUUCCACAGGCCAAGGCCAUGCAACCAAGCCUAUCACUAUAAUAUGAGAAUUGCAAACCACAAGUUACAGGCGCGUGAAGCUUCCAUGGCAACCCAAUUGUAACCGGUAAAAAGAAUAAUAAGCUUCAUCCAAGGGCUUUCCAACAUUUACAUGAAAAAUCAAUUAGGUUGCAACCAGAAAGCACGCUGAAGGAUGAUUAUAUUAGGGAUGAUACAUUCAAGCAAAGCAGGCUCUCCAUCGGUAGCUGGACAUCCCUAGCUUCACAAGCAACCACACAAACAGCAUUAAGAGAAAUAUCAAGAAUAUCAGAUGUGAAAACAAGUUAGGAUGCAACAUGUUGACUUCCUGUAAAAACCAUGUGAUUCAAGGAGUGAAAUAUCAAGUCCUGGUGGUGUGCCAACCUUGCAUUGAUAUGUCACAUGCCAUGCCGAGCCAGGCCAUUCGUUGGUGCACACACUGGCACCACAGCAUGCCCAAGUAUCGGCAGUCAACUAAUACGUGUUAGUGUCAUGUGCCAUUAAGGCAUUGGCAUAUGCAUCGUGCAGUGCCAUGCUGAAUGGCACUCAAGUCCAUCUAUGAUUCAGAUAUCUGGGGCAUGUCUGCACAUCUCAUCACCAUGUUCAUGAAAUAUCUUUUGUGCAGACGAGAAUUGCUAAGCACAGAAUUGGAUGGAAGAGACGUGAGAAGUGAUUGGUGGAGGCAAUUUUUCCUCAAACUCAGGUUUCUGGGUACGAAAUUAUGCCUAAUAUGAUGAUUUAAGAUAAUCCUGAAAAAUCAUUUAAGACUCCAGGAUUUUUGGCCUCCCAUAUUCUCUCCAUGCUUUCCCACUUGUAGUGGAAAGAUCCCAUGGAUAAACAUUGUUAGACAUCCAAUUUGGCUCUAAAAUUGUUAGCAGAUUUGAAACACACCAACCUUUCAGAAACCGAUGUUCAUAAUCAUCUGGGCUGCACCACUCUGUAAUUGAGCACCAAAUCUUCAGACUUCUUCCAUAUGUAAGUUCUGACAGUGGCCAAACUCAUUUCAGGUGAUAAGACCUACAUCACAAGGAACUGCAUUAGAAGUAGAUGAAAAGGGCAAAAAAAAAAAAAUCUAUAAACAACAGAUAGAGAAUGAAGACAAUUUUCAGCUCACUAUUUUCAAAACUUCACCCUUUUUUAAAGGGAAUUCAAACAUGCACCUUUACAAGCCCAAUACAUAGUUCUGAGAGAGGAAGGGUUACCAACCCGCACUUAAUAAACCAAGUUCAGAUUUUCGGGAUACACCACCAAGAAUCAAAGCCAGAACCUCUUGUUGCUAAGAAGAUAGGUGUGACCAAUGGGGCAACCCCAGUUUACAAACCCAAUAGAGACUAUAUAGUUCAAAAUGUAACCAUUUUUCAUAUACUAUAUUUACUCUGCAGCAUGUUCCUAUUCUAGUUUUUUUGGGAAUGAAUUGUCAACGAACUUCAAACUAAAUGCCAAAGUUAAAAGAACAAACUAUGUUGAUGUGCUCUCCAAAUGCCUUAAUGGGUAAUCAUAUAUAUUCCAUGAUAUGGUAAUACUUUUGACAACUCAUGCUAACUCUAUAUUAACAACAUAAUCAUAUUAUAAGUAGAAGCCAAGGAUGAGAAAUGAAAAUGAAUGAUAAGCCAAAAAAUCAACACAGAAUAGACUAAACCAAAAUUGCUACAAACGUUGAUAGCAGAAGCACUUUAUCAUAAGCACAUAAGCAAUUUUAGUUUGGCACUUUAUCUAAAUCUAGUUUGGUACUUGAGUUCAUGUCCAUAUUUGACCAAUUCUGAUACAUAAGCACAUUCAGCCAGAGUUUAUCCAUCCAGUUUCCAAUGCUAGCAACCAAGAAAAUAAUAAGUAUCACGCUUGUGGCAAACAAUCUCACUAUUCAAUUCUAGAAUAGAGAAGCCCCAAGAUGCCAAUUUGUCUCACGUUUGCUGUUAAUAAACUCAUGGCUUUCAGUCCUAGAACAGAAAACAAAACCUUACAAUUCCAUUCUGGACAGUUUCUCCGAACUUGCCUGAUUAUUGCACAAGAUUUCUAUAGAUGGCUUUAGCUUUUGCCAUGGCUUUAUCCCUGACCGCAAGUAACCAUCUGCAAUGGAUGAAAGCUGUGAUUGCCCGGUACUCAAUCCUAAACCAAAUGAUCCAUCAGAGCUACCAGCAUCAGUUGGUUUAUCAAGAACCAUUUUUUCGAUCACAUAGUUUAUCACCUACAGUGUAAAGAAAAGGCACCUGUCAACAACAAAACUAAGAGAUGCACAGGAAGUUAACAUACAAAAAUUAACCUAUUGGAAAAAUCGGGAAAAAGAGUGACUUCUCAUAGAAAGGGGAUAAGAAAAGGUCAUAUUAAGUAACAUGCUCAUAUUCAGAAUUAUCACAAGCUGAUAGCGUGCAUGAAACAAACAUGAGAAUUGCAAAGCCUUUUAGAUUUCCCAUGAACUAUUGCUAAAAAAUAUGAAGCUUAAUUGAUAAAGUUAAGAUGCUCCAGUUUUAGACAUAAUUUUCCCAAACAAGAUGGUCUAGGAAAUUAAGCUGGAUAAAUAACUCGGGCAACAGAUCUUAUGAGAAUGUAGCCAAUGGGUGCUUAACAACUAAGGAAACCAACUGACUACUUACUUUGUGUAUCCGCAAUAUCCGUGGAGCACUCAAUUUCCCCUGUGUGUGGAUUUGCACAUUCGAACCUUCACAAGGUUGCAAAUAAAAACUACACCUGCAGGGGAGAGAAAAUAGUCAAGAUCACUAAAGAAUGAAGUCAAGAUAACACUUGCCAAAGAAAGUUCAAUGUAACCUUUCUCUUUAAUUCUCGUUCCAGGAAGGUGGGUGGUACCUUUAAUAAAGACUAUACUACUAUCAUUGUCUCCACCUAUGUUUAGCAAAACAGCCAUAACCAAAAAUCUGAAGUCAGAGCAAAAUAUUAAAAAGAACAGCAAAAUCUAGGAUGUUGAAACCUGGAGGCUAAAACUAAACAGACGCCAUUAGCAUGGUCAAAAUUUUAAAUCCUGUGGGAUAGGGCUGUUCCGAUUUUCCGAUAGCAUGGGAUGUACUGCCAUCCCAUCCUAUUCUGAUAUUUGGGACAGAAGAUGUCCCAAGACAUCCCGAUUAGAACGCUAGAAUGCUAACGGGAUGACCCUAUCAAGAUUUUAAAUCCUAUGUGAUGGAGGUGUCCCGAUUUUCCCAUAGAAUUGGAUGCCCCAAUGUCCCGUCCUGUCCCGACAGCAGUCCCGAUCAUGUGACCUAAUAGAUAUCCUCCAUCUCUCUCUCCUGAUUCUUUUCUUUUUUCUUUUCUUCUUUUUCUUCUACCUUUCUUUCUUUCCUUAUCCCUUCCUUUCUUUCAUUUUUUUCUUUUUCUUUCUUCCUUUCUUUUUCUUCUCUUCUUUCUUUCAUUUUUAUUCUUCUUCUUUCCUUUCACUUUUUUUAUUUUCUUCAUCUUUCCUUCCUUUUUUUUUCUUCUUCUCUACCUGUGUGGAUGGGUUUUGGAGUUCCGACCCUGUCCUAAUCCCAUUUUUUCACAAAAACAGAACGAGAUGGCCAGGAUGCCCUCCGUCCCGCUGGGACAUAAAACCUUGGACCCUAUCCUAACACAUGAGAUAGUACCCCGUCCCGGUGUCCCACGGGGCAUCCUGCUCAGAACUGAAUCUUUAAGGAUGGUUACCCCUUAAUAACUGAGCUAGUUGGAUACCAGGCUAAGAUACUGACUAUAGAUUAUGGUGCUAGAAAUGUGGACAAGUUGGGAUUUUACGAAAGGGAAAGAUUAAGUCAAGUUUGGCAAAUAAAGUUAUAUAUAUUUUUCAUAACAUUUGUAAGCGAUCUAUCUUGUAGACUGUCUAAUAAUUGAAUUAAGCACAUCCAACAUUACAGAAAACAUUAGAUAAAACAAGAGUUUAUGAAAAGAAGCAGUGGACUAAACUGCGCAUAUAAAUGAAAAUUUAGAUUCUUAUACACUUUUGUCAAAAACUUCCUCUUAGGCUCAGUUGUCAUGACACACGCUCAUAUAGAAAGAUCUUGCAUGUGUAAAUACACUAAUAACUUAUAUCAUACUAGCCUCAAAAUACAAUAUCUAGAUCUUGUUUCUCUUUCCUAGACAAGAAACAUGUCUACAAAAAUCAUAUUAACUGGGGUAAGCAUCACGAAGGCAGCGGUGAAGAAUGAAAGCAGUAAAGCAAGCGGAUUUUUUACCACAAUAAUGUUAUUUUUAAAACAAUUUACCAAAAUAAUGUCUUUUCAAAAGUAUUUACCAAAAUACUGUCCGAGGCAAAAUCGCCCUAUCAUAGGGCGACUUUCUGUACUGACUCAGCACGCCCAACGUCAGGUUAGGUGGAUACGUUGGACAACAAAAUUGCCUUAUGAUAAGGUCACUCAUAGAAUCGCUUUGAGUCGCCCUCUCAUAGAGCGACUUAACAUGACUUAGCCAAAAAAAAAAACCCAACCUCCCUCUUCUCCGACGCGAGAAACCCCCAAUCCCCGGCAGCCUCCCUCCUCUCGGCCUGCCCCCCUCCCUUUUCUUCCCCGGCACGAGAACCCUCCCUAGUCAGUUGAGUUUUGGUAAAUGUCUUAAAAUUUCUUGGAGGGAGGGCUGUCGGGGAUUGGAGAGGGUUCUCGCACCAAGGAGGAGGGAGAGGGGGGGCAGGCUGAGAGGAGAAAGGGCCAUCAGGGACCGAGGGGUUCUCACAUCGGGGAAGAGGGAGGUUGGGGUUUUUUUCUUUUUUUGGCUAAGUCAUGUUAAGUUGCUCUAUGAGAGGGCGACUCCAUCUUAAGGCGACUCUAUAAGUCGCCCUAUCAUAAAGCGAUUUUUGUUGUUCAACGCGUCCACCCAACCUGACAUUGGACGUGCUGAGUCAGCACAGAAAGUCGCCCUAUCAUAGGGCGAUUUUGCCUCCGACAAUAUUUUGAUAAAUACUUCUGAAAGGACAUUAUUUUGAUAAUUAUUUUAAAAAUAGCAUUAUUUUGGUAAAAAAUCCAAAGCAAGCAGAUAGGUUUUUUUAGGUAAAUUCAUAUCAAGCAUGCAUGGUAUGUUUUCCAAACAAAAGUGUUGUACGGGGACAGCCAAAGGAUUGGAUCAUGCAAGGCAAAAGAAAAGUGCUUAGGUGGAUGUCGAGGUAUAUAAUAGUUAGAUAAUAUUCAAAGAUUAUUAGAAAUCAAUAAGCAUAUAAAACAAGAGUAUUAAAAAAUAAAUCAGAACUAAACGAAAAAAAAUAUGGGGAUCAUCAUCGAUAAUUUUAUAAAAUGUAGUUAAAAAAUAAAAAUACUGACCGUUAUAAACAUAAUGCAAUAAGCAACUUAACAAAAUGAUGAUAAACAAUAUAGAAUUAGAAUGAGAACUGUUAGAUGUAUGUCCUAGAAGCUAAUCGGGCUGACACAUUAAUUCUUUCUAGGACAUAAUUUCGUACUUAAUCUAAUUAUUUAGGAUAGUUAAUUACUAUUCAUGUAGUGUAUGUGUCCAUGAAUCGUCCAAUGAAUUAACAAGAUAAUGACACAUAUUCUCAAGAGUUGAGAAUUUAAGGCAUGUGUCAUUGGUGGUUAAUUCAUAAACUGCUCCCGAUCAUAGAAUCAUCACGAAGAUGGUGAUUGAUUCAGAUAGAUUGGUGUAUGGAUCACUUCUUUAUGGAUAGAUGAGUCUCGAAUCUACAGUAUGGGGACACUGAACGAAAGUGCAGGCACUUGUUAGAGAAUAAGAGUGCUAAGCGUGACCAACACGAAAAAUCAUUUGGAUGUCUACUCACUCGUCGGUAACAUUCUCGAUGCUGUAAUAGGAUGAAUGGUACUUUGACCUGCGAUGCUUCUACUAUUCACAAUGAAGUUGCUGUAGUUUGACUACACCAUAACUUAGUCUCCUAACCAUAUAAAGUCUUGAGGUAUAUAUUGGCUGCAAUAGGUUUAUUGUAGAAAUAGGAUGUGUAUCUAGAUGGGAUCUAUCGAUCUUAAUAGAAAAGGAGAAUUUUUAUGCGAUUCACGAGACUGAGUUCAAAAAAUCUUUGACCAAAGCAAGUAUGAAUACUAAAAAAGAGUUUUCACAAAAAUUUACAAGUGAACUCGAAUCGAGCCAAUCUUGCAUAUGACAGACGAUUAGAUUUGACGAAUUUUUCAUCACCUCCAUCUUAUCGAAACUCAUGAUAGAAGAACUUAAUCACACGGUAACUACACCUAGUGGUUUAUUACUUCUAUUCUGCUGGUUGCCACUACAUACUGCUAGGUGUCACUGGUAGAUCGUGAGACUCGUCGAAUGUCAUCUUGAUGAUCGAUGACCCUUGAUGGACAGAGUUGAAAUUGUUCCAAUCCAUUGAAAGGAGUUUCAAUGAUAUUUUGAUGGAGAUCAAAAUAUAUCUGAAUACCAGACAGAAUAGUACUUAUGGGAUCACACAUAAAGAGUAACUAACUGAUCGGAAUGUCGAAUAGCGAUUUUGAAUCGCAAAAGAAUCCAAUUAUCAAUGUGAUUGAUGAUUGGACUAAUAUGUAAAAGUUAUAUGAAGAACUUGCUAAAAGUUAAUAAGUUAUAGGAGGAUCGAAAAGAGUCCCACUGUACUGGAACUCUAGAGUCCCAAUGGACUGGGACUCUAUCAAAUUGCAAUUAUUGCUAAUUAUUUGAUUUGAUCAAAUAUGGGCUGAAGUAAAUCAGAUUGGAUCUGAUUAGAUUUGAUUUAAUUUGAAUUUUUCAAUUCAAAUAGGAUUAGGACUUAAUUCCUAAUUGAGUUUGACUCAAUUUAGAUUCGAACCGGAUUGAAAUUAAAUUAGGAAACCAAAGUCCCAUUGCAUUGGGACUCUCUCACCUUAUCCACGCAUGGGACGCCCAACCAAAUUACCAGAAGAAUAUUAUGGCGUGGAGAAAAAGUGGGGCGCAAAAAGGAUGGGGCGGUGGAAAGAGAAGAGUCCUCUUUUAAGGACUUUAACCAACUCCAUCUAAAUCCUAACCUAACCCUAAUUGUUAGGGAUAAAAAGCGGGCACCUCUCAUCAGAUCACAUGGUGAUUAUGAUGCUUGGUAUGGCAUGAAGACAAGGGGAAAAAGGGAUGCGUGCGUGAGGAAGCUAGGAAGCAAAAUCAGAUUGGCAUGGUGAGUUUGUUAGGCUUCAUGUCAAGCAUGCAUGGUAUGUUUUCCAUACAACAAGUGUUGCAUGGGGACAGCCAAAGGAUUGGACCAUGCAAGGCAAAAGAAAAGUGCUUAGGUAGAUGUUGAGGUAUAUAAUAGUUAGGUAAUAUUCAAAGAUUAUUAGAAAUCAAUAAGCAUAUAAAACAGGAGCAUUAAAAAAUAAAUCAGAACUAAAGGGAAAAAAAAUAUGGGGGUCAUGAUUGAUAAUUUUAUAAAAUGUAGUUAAAAAAAUAAAAAUACUGACUGUUAUAAACAUAAUGCAAUAAGCAACUUAACAAAAUGAUGAUAAACAUUAUAGAAUUAGGAUAGGAACAACUUGUCAAAAAUUAGUAAAAUUUGUAAAUUGUAACCAUUGGUACUAGUCAGACAAAGGAGGUCAUAACUUGCUCAUUAGACCCACCUAACAUCCCAAACUACCCCAGCAUAACCCCUGUUAUCCAUCUCCCCGAUAGAUACACACAAGCGCGCACAUGCAUUUGCAGCAAAAUGGAAAACUUACCAAGGCUGGCUAGGCUUGUCAAGCCUCUUGAGCACAUACAAGGUAUCAUGCCACAUAUAGGAACCACCUAGGAGAUCCACCUAACAUCCCAAACUACCCUCACAUUUCCCCUGCCCUCGACCUCCGCAACACACACACGCGCGCGCACGCACAUAUACAUGCUGUAAUACCCAACCCACUAACCCACCAAGAAAAAAGGCCCAAAUAAAAGCAAAAAAAAAAGGGCUCCACAAGACUUUUAAACCACAAAAAAAAAGAAAUGGAAGGAAGAAGACUCCCAAUGAGUCUUCUUCUCCCAAAAGGACUUGAUCAGAGCCAAAAAUCGUAAGCUCCCCUCUAUAAGAUGGAACCCCACACCCUUCCAUGACCAUCCACCGCUGAAUCCCUCUUCCUCUCCUUGUUUCUGCCUCUUUCUUCUUUUCUUUUCAUGAUCGACCAUCACCGUGCACAACGAAACCAGUGGCCCAAACAUCACUAAGAACAAGGUAAAUCUCUCAAGAAACCUUCCUUCCAAUUCUCCUUGAUUUAUAGGCUGAGAUUUCAAUGGAUUGUUACCGAUUUUCCUUGGGAAAAAUCGGAUUUCAAAUGCUCUAUUUUUUCCCUUUCGUGUUGCUUUGAUUUCGGUGCCAUCCAUCACUAUUGAUCACCGAACUAGGGACCAAUGGCCGCAUCAUCAUGGAUCACACCCCUAGCCAUCAUCUCUAGGCAAGACCCCUUGAGUUCAGGGGAGAAGGGGACUCAAAUAAGAUCCCUUGUUUGCCUAAACAAAAAAAGAAGCAGAAGACAGGAAAAAAAAAAGAAAAGAAAAAGGAAAAAAGGAGAGAGAGAAAGAGAGAGUUUCUCUCUCUUCCCUCUUCCUCUCACCUUUCUCUCUCUUUCCACUUUCUAUCUCCACUUUCUCUCUCUAGUUUUCCUCUCUACUUUCUCUCUAUACAAUAUUCUCUCUAAAAUUAUUUCUCUAUGAAAUUUUAAGAUUAGUUCAAUGAAGGAUUUUUUUCAAUAAUUUUGAUCGAUCUUAGUGAAGGGUUCCAAUCUGCCACCAUCGAACAGCAUGCCGAUACCCAUCUUGAUCAAACUAAAUACCAUUAGAUUUGAUCACCCAUGAUAUUUAUUCAACCAUCUCUAUAUUAGUUUAACCAUGAUUUGAUGAAAUCACUUUGAUCGAAUCGAUCGGAAUGUCGGACAGUAUCGCCUGAUCAACCUUAUUCCAUCUUGUUAAUUUUUCUCCUCUGAUAUUCUCUCUCUACUUGAUUUAUGAACCCAAUGAAGCAUCCCGGACCAACUCAAAUCGUUGAAUGCAAUUAUCCAUGAAUCAUAUCUUUCUUAAUUAUCCAUAUUUUUUCGAAUUAAUGGACUUAAUUCUAUGUAGGGAUAUAGUCAACUCGACAAAAAGAUGUCCAAUAGUGGGAUAUUACAAUAUGAUUUAUGAAUUAAAGAUUUUGAAAAAAAAAUUAUAAAAUUAUGUGGACUUGCUAGAAUACGUAUGAGAUAAGUAAUGCUGCACUUGUUUUAGAUUUAUCGAUAUAUUAUAAAAAAAAAUUAUUGAAUUAUUUAUGAUUUAUGAAUCUGAUGUACAUAUUUUGAAUUAUCGAAUAUAUCUUUUUUUUCAAAAUAUUAAGUGAUUUAUGAUCGAAUGUAUUGAAUUUGAUAUGAAUCAUACUAAUAGAUUUCGAUGUCAUAUGGUUUUAUGAAUUAUUUGAUUUGAAAUAUGAAAUAUGCUUUUAAAGAAAGCACAUUGAUUUGAGAUGAAUUUUGACUCACAGUCGGACUAUGUAUCGAACUCCACCAGUAGGCGUUAAAUGCUAGUACUAUGAUAUCUUAUCAAUGGGACAAUUAAAUACUGAUACUUUGAUACUCUAUCAAUGAGAGUUGUGCGCUGGUAUUUUGAUACUCUACCAAUGAAGCGGUUAAACAUUGAUAAUUUGAUACCCUGUCAAUGAGGGUUAUGCGCUGGUACUUUGAUUUAGUUCAUGGCUGUCAAAAUGAACACGAUGUUUUAAAAAAAAAUCAAUUUAUAAACGAAAAUGAAUUCGCAUGGAUCAUAUUUUGAUUAGUGCUGUAUAUUUUGAAUGGAUGCAUAUGCAUGCUUUUUUAGCAUAUUAUUACUGCUUAAUUUAUCUAGCUAAAGUAUACACAACUUACUAGUUGUUUAGCUCAUUACUCUAUAUUUACUAUUUUUACAAAUUCAGAAGACUAGAUUGACUUGAAGAUUCAUUAUGGAAGAAAGAACUAAAGACAAUUUGAUAUUUUUAUUUUAGAUUAGGAUUUAUUGAAAUUUGAUGCACUAUGAAAAAUUAUUUUGCAAGACAUUUUAUUAAGUCAUUUGAACUAAAGUUGAAUGUUAAUUAUUUGAAUUUUGUUCCAUUAUUUCUUUAUGAUAUCGUGAUGAGAUAUCUUGUAUGCUUGUGGAAAGAGUUCUCCAUAAGUAUGCCGUGGUUGCCGUGACCCUUUGACUCGCGAUCUCGAAUCGAGAGCAUGACAAUUAAUAUGAUAUCGGAGCAUAAGUGGAUAAAUUAUUAAACAUAGAAUAAGACAUAGGAUGAGUGUAGAUAGAUAGACACUAGGGACAUCAAAAUAUAGAUCUAUGAUGAUUGCAGCAUACAUUAUCUUCAUGAUUUUUGACUAACCCUUGUGAUGAUGAAUGAAAAGAUUGCUUAGGAAUAAUACUUCAGAGGGUUUGAUAUAUGAUGGAUAAUCCGGGAUAAUGCUAUGAGUAAUUGGAUUUUGAUCUGAAGUAAUUGCAAGAGGAUUGGUCAUGAAAUUUUAUUGUGCAUUGUGAUUAUUAAUUUAAUCAUCAAUUGUUUAAAUGAAUUGCAAGCUCAAAUUUGAUAUGGGAGUAUACCGUAAUAUUGCUUAGUUUUGAAAUUUAUUAUUUAGUGACAAGCUAGGGUUUAUUUGCAAUAAUGUGUAAAAUACUGGACUAAAAAAAAUUUUAUGAUAUCCGAUUAGAAUAUUCUUCAAAGCCAAACCUGAUACAUGGAUCAUAUAUAAACCGGCAUAUAAGAGGAAUAUACAUCUGAGAAUAUUGCAAAUAAUUAUGUUCUUAAUGGAAGGAAAUCGAUUUUGUUUGAGGUUAUAGAGUAUUCAUCUUGGUGGAUCAUUAAUAGUUUUAGUUACCAUCUUUAGAUCCAAAUAAUAGAUCUUGUUUAUGACUAUUAGAGACUAUAUGGCAUGUAUGAAACUUCAAUUCAAGAUAUGGGUUUAUAAAUUGAUCUAGAGUUUCUUUUUGCCAUUAUUAUUGAGGUCCGUGUUAAAAUCUAGUAUGUCAUGGAGAAUUUGAUUUCAAAAGGUUUGCAUGAUUACUGUGGAGAAAGUAUUUGCUAGAUAUUAAAGUACUUGAGGAAAAGAACUCUAGAAAAGAUAAUUGAAUCAGUUUUACAUAUGUGUUUUGAUUUAAGUCAUAACUUGGUGGAGCAAUCAAAAUGUUUUUCUUAUUGAUUUUACUUACAGGAUUUUAUUUUGGAAUUGUCUAAUUGAAUUGACAAGAGAACUAAGAUUUGAUCCAUAUCGAAUUACAGUAAACCUAUACGAUGGUUUGAAUGUGUUAACAAACUCAGGGGAUGUGUUCGAUGCAUAUUGGGGACAAUAACUUAUAUUGACUGUGAUAUAACUUAGAAAUCUAUAUUUGACAUCAAUAUGUUGAUGGAUUUAAAUCAAAGUACUCAGUAGAAACAUAAUGGUCUGAAUUAUGUUUAAGCUAAUCAAAACAAUAAUUUCAUUUGAAAGAUGAUGUGAUGAAAUACUUGUUUUUAGGAUUAGAUAAUAACUUGAGGAAGUAAUUCCAAACUUUUAAGAACUUGAGCAAGAAAAAUUUCAAGAAUAAAAUUUCUUUUUAAGAAGGGAAAAUGUAAUACCCAAUCCAUUAACCCACCAAGAGAAAAGGCCCAAAUAAAAAGGGCUCCGCAUGACUUUUAAAGCACCAAAAAAAGAAACGGGCAGAAGGAAACUCCAAUGAGUCUUCUUCUACCAAAAGGACUCGAUUGGAGCCAAAAAUCCUAAGCACCCCUCUAUAAGAUGGAACCCCCCUCCUUCCACGGCCAUCCAUCGUUGAAUCCCCCUUCCUCUCCUUGUUUUUCUCCCUCUUUCUUCUUUUCUUGUUCCCAAGCAACCAUCAACGUGCCUAAUGAAAUCAAUGGCCCACACAUCACUAUGAACAAGAUAAAUCUCUUAUGAAACCUUCCUUCCAAUUCUCCUUGAUUCAUAGAUUGAGAUUUCAGUAGAUUGUUACCAAUUUUCCUUGAAAAAAAUUGGAUUUCAAAUGCUCUAUUUUUUUCCCCUUCGAGGUUGCUUUGAUUCCGCACCAUCCGUCGACAUUGAUCACCAGACCGAGGACCCAUGGCCACACCGCCAUGGGUCGCACCCCCGGCCAUCAUCUCUCAACAAGAGUCCCCUUGAGUUCAGGGGAGAAAGGAGUUCAAAUAAAAUCUCUUGUGUUGCCUAAACAAAGGAAAAAGAAAAAAGAAAAGAAAAGAAGAAAAAAGAAGAAGAGAAAGAAAGGGAAAAAAAAGGAGAUAGAGCUUCUCUCUUCCCUCUUCCUCUCACCUUCCUCUCUCUUCCUACUUUCUCUCUCUAGUUUCUCUUUCUAUAAUAUUUUCUCUAAAAUUCUCUCUAUAAAGUUCUCUCUCUAAGAUUAGUCCAGUGAAAGAUUUUUUUUUUCUAUGACUUUGAUUAAGCUUUAGUGAAGGGUUUCGAUCCACUAUCGUCAGACAGUGUGCCGACAUCCAUUUUGGCCAGACUAAAUACCAUUAGAUUUGAUCACCCAUGAUAUUUAGUGAACCAUCUGUACACUAGUUUAACCAUAAUUUAUUGAAAUCACUUUGAUCGAAUCGAUCGAGAUAUCAGACAGUAUCACCUGAUCAAUCCUAUUUUAUCUUGUUAAUUUUUCUCCUCUGACAUUCUCUCUACUUGAUUUAUGAACCCAAUGAAGUAUCCUGGACCAACUCAAACCAUUGGAUGUGACUAUUCGUCAAUAAUAUCUUUCUUAAUUAUCCAAUUCUUUUUAAUUAAUGAACUUAAUUAUGUAUAGAAGUAUAGUCGUCUCGACAAAAAGAUAUCCAAAAGUGGAUUAUUGCGAUAUAAUUUAUGAAUUAAAAAUUUUGAAAAAAAAUUAUGAAAUUAUAUAGAUUUGAUGGUGUGCGUAUGAAGUAAUACUGUACCUUUCUCUAGAUUUAUCGAUAAAUUAUAAAAUAUUUUUUAUUGAAUUAUUUAUAAUUUAUGAAUCUGAUGCAUGUAUUUUGAAUUAUCGAAUAUAUUCUUUUUUCAAAAUAUUAUGUGGUUUAUGAUCGAAUGCAUUGAAUUUGAUAUGAAUCAUAUUGAUAGAUUUCGAAUAUUGCAUGGCUUUAUGAAUUAUUCAAUUUAAAAUAUGAAAUAUGUUUUUAAAGAAAGUAUAUUAAUUUGAAAUGAAUUUUGACUCGCAGUCGGACUAUAUAUUGAACUCUACCAGUGGAGUUUAAUGUUAGUACUACGAUACCCUAUCAGUGGGAUGGUUAAAUACUGGUACUUUGAUACCCUACUAAUAGGAAUUGUGCGCUGGUAUUUUGAUAUCCUACCAAUGGAACGAUUAAAUGCCAGUAAUUUGAUACCUUGCCAGUAAGGCUUAUGUGCUGGUAUUUUGAUUUAGUCCAUGGCUGUCGAGAUAAACAUGAUGUUUUGAAAAAAAUUGAUUUAUAAAUAUUUUGAUUGAAGCUGUAUAUUUUGAAUUGAUGCAUAUGCAUUCUUUUUUCAGUAUAUUAUCAUUGCUUGAUUUAUCUAGCUAAAGUGUACAUUGCUUACUGAACUGUUUAACUCAUUACUUUAUAUUUUACAGUUUUUACAUAUUCAGAGGACUAGCUUGACUCUGCGAUAUAUUAUUGAAAUUUGAUACAAAACCAUGAAAUAUUAUUUUGCAAGAAUUUAAUUUAAUUAUUUGAACUAAAGUUGAACGUUAAUUAUUUGAAUUUUAUUCUAUUGUUGCUUUAUGAUAUCAUGAUAAGAUGUCUUAUAUACUUAUGAAAAGAGUUUUUCAUGAGUAUGCGGUGGUUGCCGCGAUUUCUUAACUCACGAUCUCGAAUCGAGAGCAUGACAAUUAAUAUGAUAUCGGAGUAUAAAUGGAUAAAUUAUGAGAUAUAGAAUCAGACAUAGGAUGAGUAUAGAUAGGUAGACACUACAGACAUCAAAGUAUAGAUCUAUGAUGAUUGCAGUAUACAUUGUCUUUAUGGUUUUUGACUAAACCUUGUAAUUAUAAAAGAAAAAAAUUGCUUAGGAAUAAUACUUCAGAGGAUUUGAUAUAUGAUGGAUAAUCCGAGGAUCAUGCUAUGAUUAGUUGAAUUUUGAUCUAAAGUAAUUGCAAAAAGAUUGGUCAUCAAAUUUUAUUAUGCAUUGGGGUUAUUAAUUUAAUCAUCAAUUGUUUAAAUGAAUUGCAAGCUCAAAUUUGAAAUGGGAGUAUAUGGUAAUAUUGCUUAGUUUUGAAAUUUAUUAUUUAGUGACAAGCUAGGAUUUAUUUGCAAAAAUGUGUAAAAUACUGAACUAAGAAAAUUUUUAUGAUGUCCGAUUAGAAUAUUCUUCAAGGUUGAACCUGAUACAUGGAUCAUGUAUAAACCGACAUAUAGCAAGAAUAUACAUCUGAGAAUAUUGCAAAUAAUUAUGUUCCUAAUGGAAGGAUUGUUUUGAGGUUAUAACGUAUGCAUCUUAGUAGAAUCAUUAACAAUUUUAGUUACCAUCUUUUAAUCCAAAUAAUAGAUCUUGUUUACAACGUUAUAACAUAUUUAUCUUGGUGGAAUCAUUAACAAUCUUAGUUACCAUCUUUUGAUCCAAUAAUAGAUCUUGUCUAUGACUAUUGGAGACUAUAUGGUGUGUAUGAAACUUCAAUUCAAGAUUUGGGUUUAUAAACUGAUCAAGUGUUUCUUUGCUAUUAUUAUUGACGUCGCCAUUAAAAUCUAGUAUGUCAUGCAGAAUUUGAUUUUGAAAGUUUUACAUAAUUACUGUGGAGAAAGUAUUUGAUAGAUAUUAAAGUACUUCAGAAAAGAAACUCUAGAAAAGAUGAUUGAAUCGGUUUUACUUAUAUAUUUUAAUUUAAGUCCUAACUUGGUAGAGCAAUCAGAAGAUUCUUAUUAAUUUUAUCUACAGAAUUUUAUUUUGAAAUUGUCUAAUUGAAUUGACAAGAGAAUUAAAAUUUGAUUCAUACUGAUUUACAGUAAACAUAUAUAAUGGUUUGAAUGUGUUAACGAACUCAAGGGAUGUGCUUGAUGCAUAUUGAAGAUGAUAACUUAUGUUGAUUGUGAUAUAACUUAGAUAUCUAUAUUUGACAUCAACAUAUUAAUGAAUUUAAAUCAGAAUAAGCAGUGGAAGCAUAAUGAUUUGAAUUAUUUUUAAGCUGAUCAAAACAGUAAUUCGAUUUGAAAGAUGAUGUAUGAAAGAAUUAUUUUUUAGGAUUAGAUAUAUUAUGAAUUAUCGAAUAUAUCUUUUUUUGAAAUAUUAAGUGAUUUAUGAUCAAAUGUAUUAAAUUUGAUGAAUCAUAUUGAUAGAUUUUGAUGUCGCAUGGCUUUAUGAAUUAUUCGAUUUGUAAUAUGAAAUAUAUUUUUGAAAAAAGUGCAUUGAUUCGAGAUGAAUUUGACUCCGCCAAACUAUGUAUCGAACUAUGUCAAUGGGAUUAAACACUGCUACUAUGAUAUCCUGCUAGUGGGAAGGUUAAAUGCUCGUACUUUGAUAUCCUACUAGUAUGGGUUAUGCGCUAAUAUUUUGAUACCUUGCCAAUGGGGUGGUUAAACAUCGGUAAUUUGAGGCCCUGCCGGUGAAGGUUGAUUUAAUUCAUAACUAUCAAGAUGAACGUAAUGUUUGAAAGAAAUCGAUUUAUGAACGAAAAUAAAUCCACAUGAAUCAUAUUUUGAUUAAUGUUGUAUGUUUUGAAUUGAUGAAUCAUAUUUUGAUUAAUGUUGUAUGUUUUGAAUUGAUGCAUAUGCAUGCUUUUUUCAAGAUAUUAUUAUUGUUUGAUUUAUCUAGCUAAAAUGUACAUUACUUACUAGAUUGUUUAGCUCAUUUCUCUAUAUUUUACUGUUUUUACAAAUUUAAAGAACUAGCUCGACUCGAAGUUUCAUUAUAGGAGAGAGAACUAGAGGCAUACUUUGAUAUUUUUAUUUUAGAUUAGGAUUUACUAAAAUUUGAUACAAGAUCAUAGAAUAUUAGGAUUUAUUUUGUAAGAUAUUUGAUUUAGUUAUUUAAACUAAAGUUAAAUAUCAAUUAUUUGAAUUUUAUUUCGCUGUUGCUUUAUGAUAUCAAGAUGAGAUGCCUUGCAUGCUUGUGGAGAGAGUUCUCCAUAAAUAUACGAUGGUUGCCGCGACCUCCUAACUUACAAUCUCGGAUCGAGGAUGUGACACAUGCCCUGCAUCAAAAAGAAAAACUUGCCAAGUCUAGCUAGGCUUGUUAAGCCUCCUGAGCAUAUACAUGGUAUCUUGCCACAUCCAGGAACCACCUGUGGGACUAAGCAUAAGAAAGUAAACAAGGGAUACACAACAACCAACCCUGUCCAUCUCCCCCCCCCCAAAAAAAAAAAGAAAAAAAAGGAAAAAGGAAGAAAGAAAAACUUGCCAAGUUUGACAAGGCUUGUCAAAGCCUCUUAAGCACCUACAAGGUGCCAUGCACAUGCAGGAGCACCUAAAACACUAAGCACAAGAAAAUAGACCAAGGGACGAACCUAGGUUUAUCCCAUUGGAUAGGUGAAGCACUCAAUUUCCCUCACUGAGGACCUCUGCCAUUGAACCUUCACAAGGGUGAAAAUAAUAGUUAUGCCUAUAGUGGGAAAAAGAAACCUCAUGAAGUUAAUAAUAUUACAAUGACAACUAAAGCACCAAAUUCAAACUACACUAGGCAAAAAGACACAUGGACAUACUUUAGUGGAAAAUAUAACAUCGAACCAUGUCAAGUGAAUAGCCAUUAACAGGCUUUAAAAAAAUAAAAAGGCUACAAAAGGAAUCUAUGAUCUAGUUUAAUGUCAAAUUAUGGACAAUAACACAAACUCAAUCCUUUCAGAAUGAUUAACAAUUAAUUUAGUGUGUGGCAUACUAAGACAAAACUAAAUUGACAGGCCUAGAUAUGUGGAUGUGUCACAAUAUCAGCAUGUUUUGAAUGGAAUGGUUAGAUCAACCUUGGUACAUAGGAAAAACUAGGUUCCUAAUAUACUAUUUGUAAGAUGUAAACGAACCCUCUCUCCAUAUAUUUUUUUAGAGAGAGAGAGAGAGCUAGACUUGGCUAGACUCAAGCGGUCUCUACUCAAAUCCAGUCAGAUUUUGAUUGGAUGAUGAAGGUCCCACAUCGACGAUCCAAACUGUCAAAUGUGAUCUACUAUCUAUAAAUUACUUACCAAAAAUCAUGUGAUUUGGAGGUCCUAGCCUAUGCAUCAAGGAGUCAAAAAUUUGGCAAUGUAUAUAACAUUAAAUUAUAUAUGUUUUUUAAUCACCUGAUGCACAAGCUAAAGGUCUCAAAAUCACAUGAUUUUUGGUUCGUAAGUAGCUUAGAGGUAGUAGAUCAAAUCCAAUGGCUUGGAUUACCAAUGUGGGAGCUUCAUUGUCCAAUGUAGACCUGACCGGAUCUGAGUGGAAUCCACUCGAGUACAGACAAGUUCAACUCUAUAUACACAUACAUAUACAUAUAAAUAUACAUACACACACACACACACAUAUAUAAUGUUGCAUACUAGACUAUGAACAUAUCAACACAUUGUGUUGUACUAUAUUUUUCAAAAAAAAAAAGAGUCUAAAGUAGACUUUCUAAAAUAAGAAACAUGGGUGCAUCAAUCAGAAAUAAUUAGGAAGAAUCUUUCAAUGAAUGUGAAGAAAGGUAGGAAAAGUAAUGAAUGCAGAUUUCAGAAAGACAAAGCAAGCACGUUAAUAGAGGUGCAAUAGGAGUAUAAAAUACAUUGAGUGUAGAAAUGAGGUUAAACCAAUUCUACCUUCAGAAAGGCAUUUAGGAUGUUUAUGUUCUAAAUCAAUUCAUGUUUCACCCUGAACUCUUCAUUUAUGAAUUUUCACUCCUAAUAUCAGAGGGACAACAGCAAUCUAUAUGAUAAAAUUGCCAGGCUGUUACAUGCAUAUUAAGUGUUGAUGUAAUUUAGCAGCAGCAAAGAAUUAUAUAACAUACUAAUUGCAUAUUGGAAGAAUGUAGAUGAAAUAGAAAAAAUGCAAUGAAGAUACAACAAUAAUCUUGGUUGAAACAAGGAAAUAUAGGUGGGAGACAAAUUGCUCCACUAGAUAUCAUGUUUCAAACAAAACAUGUAGAACAUGUCCAACUUUCCAAAUCAACUGGCACAGGUGAAUACCCUAAAUGCAGGGAAUCACCACACAUAUGCAUGCCCAAUGCUGGCACCAGCCUGUCAUAGCAUGGCACAGUGGAACAUGCCAGCACUUCUAUCCAUACUAUCUCAAGCAUCAUAAUUACUCGAAAAUUCUAAGAAAUGAUUUUUUUCUUUUUUUUUGGAAAACUUUCUCCAUCUAUGACACAAAGGCAGCAAAAAAAUUUAAUUUACCAGUUAGCCACACCACUAAGACCACAUCCUCAAGCAUCUCUUUCAUGUUGAUACAACAGAAAAGCAACUGCUAGCAAAAUUUAUGCAUUCAUUCAGCAUUCAAAAUUUUUCAAAUUGUUCCCCUGUACUUUCUUAGUCUGCUAAUAUCUAAGAAUGUUAGGAAGACAAUGUUUAAGAACAUCUUAGUUACUAUCUUUUCAUAACAAAGAACCACAACAACGAUCCAAUUAUUAUUUAGUAUGAUCACAGAAUCUCCAAGAUCUCCCAGGAAGUCCCUAUAGGAACAGUAUAUCCCUCUCUAUGAAGAAACGCAACUAAGAAGCAUAAUGGAAUGAAAGGAAAGAAAAAAAAAUCCAACAUAACAAUUAAAAAUGAUUUAGAGCACAAAAGAGAAGCAUCAUAAGCGGAAGAAUAGUGCAACAAAGUCUAUGCAGCAAAACUUAUCCAAACAAACAGAGAUGUAUCCUGAGCUACUAACUUUUGUUAGUGACGGUAUCAUGAUUCUAACAUUAACCAAUUAGAAAGCAGAUACAGCAAUAAUAUGCCAUUUCCUAUUUUUCUGGAGGAAAAGAUGCUUUAAUACGGAUGCUAAUGCCACUUGAAAAAUCAUCACAUGGUCGGUAUAUCAAAUUUUAGAAGCAUUCUGCACUCUUUGCUUCCUCAUGACAUUAAAUGCAAUAAAUAAAUAAAGAGAAUAACAAAAGCAAGGUGCUAUAAUAACACAAAGGUUCUUUAUAAAUUUCCUUUCUAGUAAAUUUCCUAAAUUAUUGGCAUCCAUUAUCUUAAGAAGUGCAGUGCAUUUUGCAUUAAUACUUGCAAAAGAAAUCAAGAAUGGUAAAUCAAGUAAUGAUAACUUGAGUGUGUGACUACAUGGUGACAACCACAAGAAAAGAUGUGGAAGGUAAAUAAAUAAAUAAAUAAGCAAGAUGUUGCAGGCAAAAUAAUGCAGGAGAGACAGCAAUUACUUUGAAUUUUCUCUUGGAGGUAACCGACCAUUCAACACACAAUCCAUGCACCACCAUGGAAGAUCCUUCUCAUCUUCCAUCCCAUCUAAAUCAGUAAUUUUCUUUCUCCAAGGACCUCCAUGAGAGCCCUCUGUAAUAAUUGAAGGAGGUGAAGAUGUUGCAAACUUGAAAGACGCGAGCACCAUGGAUGUACAGUUUUCAGAUCCAUCAUCAACCUCAACCCUUGGAUGGGAGAGAUUUCUAACAGAGACAUCCUUCCCUGAUGCAACAUCACCAUUAGAUGAAACCUGGGAUCCAGACCUCUGUUUUCUUUUAGCCAACCAAUAAGCCAAUAACCCACGAAGAGUCUCCUGAGCUAGAUUAAUCUGAAAUAAUUUAUGAAAAAUAAUUGAAAACUUCAUCACUGGGUAAUCAUGUAAAAGAAUAAAUUUAAAUUAUCUUUCAAAAGAUGGUGACAACAUUCCACCAAAAGAUUGUUAACAAGUAAAGAUGAUUACUCUUGUCCUUUCUAUUAUACAGCCUCCCUUGGAAGAUUCCAAAAUAUGAUCUAAACAAGCAAAUAUUUUGAAUCAAAUAUUAAACAAAGAAAUGGCAUCAAGCAUCUGCAUCACAAAGAUUAUCAAGACAAUCUGGAAGAAGAUGAGAAACAAAAUAGUUUGUACAGCUGGUUGUAUAUAACAAAAACCAAUGGCCACCCAAGGUUUCUAAAUAAAAACCUGAGAUGGGAAACCUCUGAAGCUAUCCAGCCAUUGGGACUUUACUUAAAACACUAUCUUCAUUUUACGUUAUUUAUAGGAAAAUAAAAAUUCUAGUUCUCCAAACACUCAACGCCAAUAUUCUCUGGCACAUAGAACAGCUAAGGUGAAGUGCAAGUACUUGCACCGAUGUGCUGUUUGACAAGACACUCCAUAAUUUUGUGCCUAGCAUCAACCUCAGGGGUGACUAAAGUACAUCACUGCAUUAAGAAAGUGCCAAGAAAUGUCAUGCCAUGACCACUAUCCAAGAGUCAGCACUUCAAAAUUCCUAAGAAUUAACAUAUCCUAGUAACACCAAUCGUUUGAAAUAUCAUUGUAUACCAUGUUUGUGUUAAAUAUUAUAUAGGUGACAAUGUUAUGGCAAGAAUUAAUAAGGCAGUCAUAUAAUAAUUGAAACCUAAGAACAGUCGUCAAUUACAUGGAAUGCCUGUACUUCUUUGCAAUAUCCAAUCACUUAUGCAGUCACUGUGGUAUUUUUAUCUCAUUACUUAUGUCUCGUGAUACCAAAUGAACUUUAUCCAUCUUAAGUGCUCUGAUGAUUUGCUGGCAACAAUAUGCACAUGUUUAUAAGUUUCCUACAGUGGUUGGCCUGGCAAUUCUAUGUGGACAGCGGUCUCAUAUGAUGAGAGGGAAGGAAACAGAACUGUUUGCAAGUUGAUCUUGCAUCGCCCUUUUGCUAACUAGCCUUAGCAGUUAGCUCAUCCACCUAAAAAGCUCAGUUGGUUCAAAUCACCUCACCUGCAACCUUACUUUUUAAUAACAAGACAUCCAGCUUGUAGAACAGAGAUCACGGUACUAUAAAUGCAUGCCCUAAGAUUUGCUUGUUACUAACAUCUACUGGCAAUGGGCUAGAUGGGCAUGUCAAUGUUAUGAAAUGCAGCAACAGUAACCAGAUAGGAACCACUGUCAAAUAAUUGUGAGGAUGAAGGUAAUCAUUUGUUUCCUCCCAAGAUGAUGAGAAGGCUUCCAGAAGAAUUUUCAUAGGAAAGUCAGCAGAAAGCAUGUAUUACACAAUGAGAGCAACCCUCUAGGUUGUCCCUACAGAUAAAAGGAUAAUGAAGAGUGAAGGCUAUCAAGGCAGUCUUUUAUGCUGCAACAAAGCCUUCCACCUUGGUGAGUAUCACAGCAAAUUUGAUCUAUCUUCCAUGCGGCUGUGCUAGCCCACCAUGUAUUGAUGAAUGAUCUCUCAAAUCUAAGAUAAUGGGGUCACAAUGCUUAAUGAGUGUCAUAUUCUUUGUCUUAAUAAUCAACAGAUGGCAAGCCUUCACAAUUAUAAGUCAAAUAAAUUAAAUUAGUCUUAAGUUGGAAAAGUUCUACUUUCCUAUAUGCCUUCUUGAACACAUCUUAUAGGCUUGUGGUAUUCGUGUGCCAAUUUAUAAUAUACUUGUGUUUGGAAAGAAAAAAACAUGGACAGAACGCAUCAUAUGACAUAUUGUUUCUAAGAUCAAUAGUUUAUAGGUAUUAAAGAGGCAACUAGGAAAUUAGAUAUAUAAAAUGUAGAUCUUUUGUUUAGUGGAUCAACAUUAAGAUAUAAGCAGAAAACACUCAGAUGUUUUUACAAAUGAUAACAUUUCAAGUUUACAGAAAAAUAAAAUUUAAAUUUAAGCCAGAUAUUUUUAUCCAUGAAGAGAGCCACGUCAUGCUACCAUUCUUAAAUAUACUGCACAUAUAUCAUUCAUUGUCAUAUCUGCCACGUUCAACUCAUUCAGUGAGAAUCCUUUUACUGCACCAAUCAUCUUGAACCUUAUAACAUGCAUGAAUCAUGUUUUAUAAAAUUUUUACUUGUCAUUAAAAUUAAUUUAUCAGAUUACACCUCAAAAGAACCCCCCACAUCACCCAUCCACUUACAAUUCUAUAAGAUAUCUCUUCAUAUAUCUCUCUACUCUUUUAUAUGAAUGAUCCAAUAUAAAAUGACGACAAUUUGGUGUUUCUUGGUCAUUAAUUUGGAUUGUCAUUUCCAUUGCAAUUGCAUUGCAUAUGCUCUAUUCAUUCAACAUUGAGGUACUUUAGGUCUUUUGCAAACAUUUUCUUGAAGAUUAGCAAUAAGUUCAUUUAUGAGUAGUGUAAAGAAUCUUGAGCAUGGUGCCAACAAUUGUUCUAUGCUCAUUAUGACUGAAAAUUCACCUAUCUCACCGCAACUACUUUUACUAGUCUAACAUAUAUACCGACAAUAUAGGAGUACCAUUUAUCCACAUCUUUCUUCCAACACCCAAUCACAUAUGCUCUCGACAAAGUGAUUAAGACCAUGUUUCGAUUCUCUUUCUUUUUUCAAAUUCUUCUCUAUAGAUAUAAACAAGAAAAUCACCUCCAUUUUGGCAUUUCUAGAAUAAAUUUCAAUUGCUUCCAUCUGUUGUUUUUGCCUGGACAUUUUUGUUAUUACCCUAAUCCAUAACAUCAUGGUGUGCUCCCUAAUAAAAUAAGUACACAUCAUUGAUACUUGGUGCAAUGUUGUGCAUUGACUUAUUUUUAUGGAUGGGUACCAUGAAACUUCUCCUAUAGUCAUUUGGCAUAUUUCUGAUUCUCAUAAAAAAUGUAAGCUUCUAAACCAAAGGAACCGACUUCCCAUAAUUAUCCAUAUCCCAAAAUGGCAUUUCAUACAGCAACAAUAUUUAUAUCCUUGUUUAAUCUUUGAAUCAAACAUUUGAAUAGGAACAAAUACCUGGCAACUAGAUAAAUGUUCCAUAUGUAAACACACUCCUAUACAGCUAUACUAUAAUCUCCAUUCAACAUUUUCAAAGCAUUAGCUUUUGCAUCUUUCUUAACCUUCUCACCUAUAAGCAUAUCCUUUACGAUAGUUUGCAAUGCAUUUUGCACAAUCUACCAUCUAUAGAAUUCAUGCUUCCCAUCCUUUCAAAUUUAUGAGAUCAACAUAAACUAAGAAAAAAGAUCAAAAAGAUUCGAACCACACUUUAGCACAGUUAAUAAGUACAUACUCAAAGGUUAUGAAAGAAAAUACAACCCUAUGUGAGGCUUGAAGAAGGCUUAGCACCCCAAGAACCCUAAUAAUGGUAGACAAAAAUUAACAAUAGCUAACAACAAGUUAUUUAUAUGACAACAAACCAAACAACUCAGUACUACUGUUACAAAAAGUUCUAUUUGUUUUCAAGUGGUUUAACCGCACUUGAUGGCCAAACUUCUGCUCUGCUCGACAAAGCACAUAGAUGUAGAAGAGGUAAUUCAGUAAUCAAUCUAUAGACACUCUAUAUACAAGAUCCCAAAGUUGACAGGGGCAUGUUAGCAUGAUGAUUUGUGAUGUGAUAAUCAGUAGUGGAGAGCUUCUGGAACUACAGGUGUAAUUAAUUUAUCAAUUUAUUGAUUUUGUGGUUAUUGGGGGUGAAAUGCCUCAAUACACACAUAAACUGGAUUAAGCCAAUGGACUAAAAAGCAGAUAGCAGAUUUGUAGUGGCUGGGCAGUUUCAUAGCAGAUAGCAGGCACUAUAACAAACGCUACAUACACAAAGCAAACUACUAAAACAUACCGAUACGGAUUCUUGCCAGAUAUCAAAAAUGAAUAUUUUAUGUGAACUACAUGCAACAAAAAAUGCAAAGCAAUAGAAGCAUCCUCCAUCUAACAUCAUAGGAUCAUGUCAACAUCCAUAUAAUGCAAAGGUGAUGAUAUUGUUAUCCAUUAAACACAAUAGCAUCACUCAAAAGGUAAAAAGGUCCACAAUCACAUGACAUUAAAUAUACAAUAAAGACAUCCAUGAUCACAUAACAACAACUAUGGAAGAAAUAUGCCCACAACUAUAUAAUAUAAUUCAUCAAACAAAACAUCACCAUCAUCAUCAUCAAUAGAUAAUAAACUUCUUUGGACCAAAAAGUUAAAUGACAAAAUGAUAAUUGACGAUCUCAAUCAAAAACCGCCGUACCAGAACCGGACCCCAUGUCGGGCCGAACCGACAGGGCAAAGAAGGGAAGAGGGAGAAGAAAGAGAGGAAGGGGGAUAGAGAGAGAGAGGGGGAAGGACCAAAGGAGAGAGAGGAGGAUAUCCUCCUUACCGGGUGUCCAAAGGCCGUCGGUCUCCGGAUGGACGGCGACACCGCCGCAAUGUCUCCAACGGCCGGCGAGCCAACAUCGAGAGCGGCCGAAGCUGGAGGGCAAGGGUUUGUGUUGCCAACUUCGUGCAAUAAAAUUCAGAAAAAAAAACAUGGAACAGAGGUGAACCGCUGUUCCACAGUGGAGAUGUCAUCGUCCUCCACCCUCCUCCGGCCUCGGCCACCCUCGAUGCUAGCUCGCCGGCCAUCGGAGACGUCGCAGCGGUGUCACCAUCCCUCCGAAGACCUCCGACGGGCUCCGAAAACCCAAUAAGGAGGAUCUCCCCCUCUCUCUCCCCUUCGAUCCUUCCCUCCCUCUGCCCUUAUCGAGCUCAGCAAGAGCUCGGAUGGACUCCAAUCGCCGUCAAAGGCCCUCCCUUCUUCUCCCUCUCCUUCUCCCCUUUUCUCUCUCUUUUCCUCUCUUUCGUCUUCCUCCCUCCGAGAGAGCCACUGUGCCCUUUUGUACGCCAGAACCGGACCGAUUUUCUAUCGGUAUGGUUCGGCACGACCUGAACUGUCCAAUUUGGGAUGCUUCGAAAAACCAUGAUCUCAAUAGUUAAUCAUCAUCUGCUCCUCCUUGAAGGUCUGCUCCUUGAGCAUCAAAACUAGAGAUGUCUGAGUCAUCCAUCUUUACAUAUGCCUCCUCCGUGCCUAACUCCGACCACUCAAACUCAAUCUCAUCAAUGUUUUAGAUUUGAUUCUUUGGUUUUUUUGACUGUGAAGAUGAAGCAACUCUAGCAUUUUUGAGUCUAGCUCUUCUUGUAUAUCUCUGGGGCUCAUUGACUGUUGGACUAGUCUACCUGGAAAAUGGUCCAAUCCGCUUUAAAUUCAUAGCAUAGCAGUUGCCACAAGUCUGAUGUAUCAAUUGAUUGAUAGCUAAGUGCCAUAUAGUGCCACCAUGAUACUCAGCAUAGCAAAUUUUGGCUUGAAAUUGCUAUAGUGGCUACUAUAAUAGUCAUAAUAGCUAAUUUUCAUAAAAAUGGAUUAAACCCUUGAAAAAAUGAGAACAGUUCAGAUCUCCUCCAAUUUGUACAUGAACUGGAGAGGGCCAGUUCUCCAAUCACGAUUGUCCACAAUUGGCACCAUGGUUGUGAUUGAAUGAACCCCACAUCAUACAUGGGGCAGCAUAUUGGUGGAGCUUAUCCAAUUACAAAUGUCGCACCAAUCAUGAACCGUGAUUGGAGAACUGGCUAUCUCCAAUUCAAGUAAGAAGUGGGGAAGAUCUUGACUCAAAUGAGAAUAGUUGCACAACCUGACAGAUUGUUAAAAAUAAACAGAGAUUGGUCCUAAAUUAGUAGCACAAUCUGUGUAACUAGUUUUCUUCAUAUCCUUGACGAUUUAGUCAUUUCUUGCAGCAUAUAUAUUUUCCUCAUUUAAUAUUCUUGUUUCAAGAACUUAUCAACUCAAAGACAACCUUGCCAUGAAUUGAUAAAGAUCAGGGAACUGCUCGCAUUUUGCAAAAAUCAUUUGCUCAAUUUUGUUAAUAUAUCAUGAAUCUUAUACAUGGACUUUUAGUAAACACCAGAGCACAUAGAUGAUGGAGAUCAUGAUGAGAAAAAGCAGCAACUUGCCCAUGUUAGUAAGCAAUGGUAUGAACUAGGAAAUUUCACAAAAUUAAACAUAGUUUACCUUUUGAUUUCACCGAGCAACAAUUUUCAAGUUUCAACUACAUAACAAAAUUCUACCCUGUCACUUGCUAAAUUAAAUUUUAAAGCUGUAUCUAUUAUAGGAAAUCUCUGCACUUAGGAAAACUGUCGACGGUUAAUUAGCUGGAUAUAUGGUAUGGCCUCCAAAAGGGUGAACCACAAGCCUUGGCAAAGUUCUUGUUGCAGGUGCAUAAUUGUGUGAGAUAACAGAGGCAACCUCAUAACUCCAAUGUAAAAUUUAUAACAAUCCACUUAUUCAAUAUUUGCAUGUUCAAAAACCUUUUUCAAUACAAGCAACCAACAUAUUCUAACCAAGAUUCAACAUCUCGAUACCAAUUCCCACACCGAUAUUAUGCUGUACAGUAUCGGUAUGCCUGGUAUGGGGGUCAGUUCAGCAUACUGAAACUCAGUAUACCCUCCAGUAUCAGGUCUAGUUUCAGUACUAGUACAGUUGUCGGUGCAGGGUAAUACACACUAGUGCAGUGAACCAUGUUCUAAACUCUUCCUAUCUUAGGUAUUGGGGUAGUCAGAUUUUGUAAGUCUGAAAAAUAAAUGGAAAUAGCAUAUUUACCUUGAGAUCUUCAGGUGCACCUGAUACAUUCAAGUCCACAGCAUACAUCUCUGCAGAAAAGCAUUGAGGAGUAUCCAGGUGGAUAGACAAGCUUCCAAGCCGAGUGUCCAUCGUAAACCAUGCAGGGAUGCUCACCUAGAAAAAGAAUACAUAUGGGUUUAGCCAAAUGUUUCUGAUACAGCAGUUUAUGACAGAUUUAACACAAUAAAAUCGAUUGUAGACGAUACAGAACCAUUUCAAAUAGCUCUUCCUUCUUUUGCUCAAAAGAAACCUGCAAACAUUAAUGCAUAGAUUGAGAAUAAGAGUUAAGAUUCUUGAGUGUAACCUAGCACCCUGCUAUAGAUUCGCAGGCCCACACAUUUUCAACAAAUUCAAAUUACAGGUUAAACUCGAGCUAUUAAUUUCUUCUUUUGUUGUUCUAGUAAUGGAAAGAACAAAUUCAAGAUAAAUUACAAAAGCAGUACCAAAAAGUUUGAAAAGCACCUUGCCAUAAUUCUCAAUUACAACUCCCCUGGUAAUAUCCCACAGCUUAACCAAACCUGCUGUGUCCUGUAAGAGAUGCAUAGAACUCAUAGUGAAAAACAAAGAGCUACAUUUGCUCAUUAUGGUCAAAACUAUCAAUAUGUCUUGGGAGUAUACAAAAAAUAAACUUCAUAAUCACCUUAGUCAAGACAUGCCUUCUAUUAUUCAAGAUUUCAUGUUGUACAAUUCCUGGAAUUCCAGGUAUAAUGAAAGAUGGUUCUUGGCAUACAGGAACCUGUUAUAAAAGAAAAGGACAGAAAAAGUCAAGGACUUGGCUGUUGAUACAUAACUUUUCCAGAUGAAAACUGUAUAACCAUAAGAGAGAAAAAGGAAAGAAACAGUAUCACCAUACUAAGCACAGAAAAUUACAAAUAGAAGAAAAUAAAUAAAGAAUAAUUGAAACAUAAAGCAUUUUGUGCCAGACUAUCUUUUUCCAUUCUCAUGUCUACAGAUAACUUUUGCAGAAGGUAUACCAAACCCCACUCAAGGAACCAUCGAAUUGCACCUUGUCUUACAUAUAAUAAACUCAUAUGAAUUCACCCGUUCCUAUAUGGCAGAAGACACCUUAUAUUUUUCUUACAAUGGCUAAAGAGUUAGAGACACUGUUUGAGAUUAUGACCAAAAUAUGAGGCAGAAAUCUUACUCUGCAAGAACACCGCAAGAAUGGUGGAUGUGAAAAAUGAUAAUAGUUUAAAGAUUGAUAGAUUUGUUUAGUGCACUCAUUUACAGGAUUUUGACAAACUAUGGUGACAUUUGGCAUCACUUUCACAUUUCUUUUUUCUGAGAAAGCAAAAAUUUGCUUUUUCUUUAUUUUAACUUUUUAAGCAACACAAACAUGUAUGAUGUAGUCAAUUAUUGUUAUUUUUUAAAUAAGAAAAAUCAAAAACCAACCCUCUUCCAUCCUUUGCCAAUGGCAGCAGGGGUUACAACUGCAGCAGCAUCAAUGGUGAAGGCAGCAACAAUGGUGUUGGUAGUGGUAGUGGAGGUUACAGCAACAAUGGCAUCAUUGGUGGAGGCAGCAGUGGCUGCAGCAGUUGUGGAAAUGGAGGUGAAUGGUGAAGGCAGCAAUGGAGGUGGCUGCAGUUGUGGAGGUGGUGGCAGCAGUGGUGGCAACAAUGAUGGAGGUGGCAGCAAUAGCAGCGGUUGAGACAGCGGUAAUGAUGGGAGCAACAGCGGCAGCUUUGGAAGCUGUGGUGGCUGUGGCAGCAAUGUCAAAGGCAGCAGUGGUGGUGGCUGUGGCCAUGGCAGUGGUAGAAAGGGUAACGAGAGGGGAAAUUCCCCUUGAAAAAACACCGGAUUUCACUUCAAAAAAUAAUGAAAGCAAGAUUUUAUUGCUUUCAAAUUUUUUAGAGAUCAUGAGAAUAGUUUUUACUUUUUACAAAUAAAAAAUAGGAAUAGUAGUAGCAAGCAUUUCCCUUCUCUCAGUUUCCAGAUUUUUGUCUUUCAAAACAGAAGACAGGGGAAGAGGCAAUGCCAAACAUGGCUUUCAAUUUUUGUUGCGACAAGCUGCCAAGUCCAAGAGGCAAAGGAAGGCCCAAAAAAAAAUUGGAAAACAUGAUUUUUUUAGACUCCUCUACCUAAAUUUUGCUUCUAAAUGGGCUUAAAGAAAUAUUUCACACAUUAAAACAAUAUAUUAUCAAAUGGCUAACAGAUUUACUCAAGUUUCAAUCAUACUGCUAAAAGCUAGGAUAUCUACAACUUCAGGGCUAAACUACAAACUGAACAAAACAAUAAGAUGCGAGCAGUGAUAAUAUCAAGUAGAAUAUCAGAUUAGGAGUAAAGGCAAAGCUUUUUUUUAAAUAUUAAUAAUAACACUGCAGAUAGCACUAAGUAUUGUGAAGUUUGGCAAUAAAGUUCUUGACUUCACUGUAACACAAAGGCAGGUACUGUAAACUCUAUCAAAGAUUGUCGCAACACGAUGUAACCUAAUGUAGUAUUACUUCAUUGAAAAAGGCAAGUUGAGCUCAUAUCAGCAAAUCCAUGGUCACACAAUAGAUGUAGCUGAGCCUUACAAAAAAUCAAUACAUGACCAAUCCUUUUACCUCCAAAAAAAAAUCCUGAAAGUGGUAAGCAAAAGAUAUCAGCCAUCUGUUAUGGAUAUAAAGUACUGACCCAGCUCAGAAAUUCAGAUUGUAUAUAUAAUAAAAUAGACAGCAAAAUGAUCAUAGGCAGGCAGGGAAAUUGUCUCAGGAAUUUUCCAGGCCACAAAAACUAAGUACAUAACUGAUUAUUCUGAAAGCUUAUUCGAAGGCAAAUGAUUAUAUGUGGUGUGCAUGUUUCUGUAAUGAUAUUUGUUUAUUCAUGGUCACAUGCUACUAUUUCUAGGUAACAUGCAUUGCCCAUGGAACUGUAACUUGACCAAGUUAACACACUUGGUUAUCCACUGCCCAUAUCAUCAAUCACACAUGCACUCUAUCAGAAGUUCAGAACUUUGGUCACGUCAGAUUCAUCUCCACCUUCCCUCCAUGGAAUCUUAUUUUUCUUGACCUUUUGGAUUACAAUUACCGCCUACAAAUGUAUUGGAUCAACCUACAGUAUAAAACAUGAAAUUUGACAAAAGUUUAUAUCAAGUAACUGGACAUCAUUGUCAGAAUUCUCAUACGAAUGCUGAAACACAAAUUACAUAAUCUUAUGUUUAGAAAGGAAAUCAGCAGUAAGAGGUCAUAAUUAAAGCAUAUGUCUAUCAAAAAAAACAACUUGCAUUGAAGUUUAAGGGCCUGAUAAUAAUUCUUUAGACAUGACCAAAGAAAGUGGACCUACAGCCUCAUGGAGACUGCAGAUUAUUCAAGGGAUUUUUGCAUCUAGGACUCCUAAAAAUUUCAGCACUAUAAACAGAUCCGCACUUGUUUUACAUUCCACUUAAGAAUAGAACAUUCUAUGGAUAUUUAUCUGAAAUAUCCAGAUACAGCUAGUCAAAAUUUGUGAAUGACAACUUUUACCUUGAUCUUUUCAGCCUGUUUGGAAGCUUAUAUUGCAUCCAUAGAACAUGUUCACUAGAUGGUUCUUCAACAAAGGCACGGAGACUGGGAGAAGCAGGAAGCGGCAAAAUCCAGCAAGGCUCGUAUCGUUCAAUUCUAGAAUUUCAGGGUUACAAUAACUCCCCAAAUAGAAUCCUGCAGCCCUGAAAUUUCAAGAUGGGCAAUCUCAUCAUCUAUCCAUGGCACCACUCUUUCUCCCUCUCCCUCACUUCUUGUCCAUGUGAACUUAUCUUACAGAUAUGGAAUGCAGCCACCCAAAAAUCAUUCAUGUUUUGACUUUUCAUCUCUCAGCCUGCUAGGAUUUGCUGCUCACACACAAUGAACCACCACUGGUGAUCCACAUGCUGACAGCCAUCUGAGUCAUUUUGGCCUUAGUAAACAACUUUGGUUAACAGCACUGAUUUUUCAAACAGUCUGACGUGCUAAUAGUGUGUAUAUCUACCCUAAGUUUAUACAGUUUUGAGGUUUAUUCAGGGUACUAAAAUCCCUUCCAGUAUAUAUAUUUGGUUCAUGACUCACCACACAGAUUGAAACAAGGGUUUUAUCCCAAUCUCGAGAUUCAUCUUGGUCCAUGGCUGGGACGGGAUGCAGGAUGCCACAAGGAUAUUCCCCUCCCAGCUCUACAGAUGGGUGACCACCCUUAGAUAGAUAUAUAUAUAUAUAUAUAUAUAUAUAUAUAUAUAUAUAGUAGUAGUGUGUGUGUAUAUAUAUACACACACACACACACNNNNNNNNNNNNNNNNNNNNUAUAUAUAUAUAUAUAUAUAUAUAUAUAUAUAUAUAUAGAAUGGUAUGUGUGUGUAUAUAUAUACACACACACACACAUACCAUUCUUGUGAUAACUUAGGGUUUAGGGCAGGUUUUCUGACAUGAUGAUUGGGUUCAUCAUACCAAUAGUGGUACCAACACAAGUAGGUGAAAAAAAUAAAUUUGAAUGAACACCACUUAUUCAUUGUAUCAUGAACAAAAUGCUCAUUGAAAUAAAACAACAAGAAAGUCUCCAAGUAACCAUUAAAAAUAAGAAAGAACAGAAAAAAUUUAUUGAAAAAAAACUAAAAAAUUGGUGUCCUGGUGAACUAUUGAAAUGCUAGGACAUCUGAUGUCUCAAUGUGCAACAGGCCGAGACAAACCAAGAUGAUCCGAUCUUGAGACAUACAGGGUCUCAUAGGGAUGUCAAUGGAUAGGGUAGGGAAUGGAUUUUGCUAAAUCCGUACCCUAUCCACCCUCCUAUCCCCCCUACCCACCACCUGACCCUACCCACCAUGGUGGAUAGGGAUUUUAAAUCUUUAUCCUACCCAUGAGGGUGGUGGAUAGUACCCUACCCUACCCACAACCCACCAAAGCAAAUGCACAAUGCAAACGCAUGUUUCAAAUUUAUCAAGUUUCACACCUAUUUUAAAUCAAACAAGUUUUAAAACCUAUUUCAACCAUCAAUCUGUACAAUACAAACAGAUACAUACUAUAGCAAAAGAAACCCCAAGUCCCUAACAGAUUUGGUAUAUAUAUGUAGGUAUAUUUAUAAAUAUGCUAUUAUUGAAGGGGGGUAUUUUAGUAAAUACAUAUACAUAACGGGUCGGAUAGAGUAGGGUUUAGGGGUAAAUCUACAACUCGACCCUACCUGCUGCAGGUUUCCAAAAUCAAGACCCUAAUCUAACCUAUGGUGGGUUUUUCAAAAAAAAAAAGAAAGGACCCUACCCAGCGGAUAGGAGCAGGUAGCCACCGGUUAGGGUACCCAUUGACAUCCCUAGGGUCUCACCCCCAUAUUAGGACCUAGUCUCUCUUUAGUCCGAUCCAAGAGUCAAGACUGAUUGGGUCAGACCAGAUCUUAACUUUUGGUUUUAAAAAUACUAAUUAGAAAUAGCAAGGAGUUAUAUCCAAAAAAAAUCACUGGAAAGUGUACUGCUUAGAAUCUUCACUAACAUAUUAUAAUACAUUCAAGUACACCAAUGAAAUGAAUGAAUAUCAAAUUAAAGUUAGCAAUGAUAGUGACCAGGUUAUAGAAAUGAGUUUGCUCCUGAAACAUCAAUAAUGAACUUAUAGCAAAGUAUGCUUACAGGAGCAGAUCCUUCUAAAGAAGCCCUCGCCCUUGUGAAAGACAAAUUUCCAGCUAAGAAUGAGCCACCUCUUUGAAAAACCUUCUGAGGAUUAUGCCCUUCAGCUGGCCAUUUAUGUACAGAAGAAUCUGUUGUUGCAACCCAUAUACUGUCAUCUUGCAAGGCCAUCUGUAGAAUUGGAUGUUCUUUCAUGCAAAGCAAAAUGCUCUCUCUUGUUGACAAGUCUGUCAGGUAUAACUGAGGUUUCCAUAGUCAUGGAAAGAAGAAACAGAUCAGGCAUGGAUCAGAUUGUAAUACUUGGUAGUUGGCAGAGAACCUCUUCCAUAAUAACCAUUAAAAACAUUUUACUUACAGAAAGGUCCCUUCCACCACUGUAAACAUGGGUAAAUGAUGGAGUGCUAGCAAGUGCCCAGACUGAGUCUGUAUGCACAGCAUAUGAAUGUACACAACGUUGUUGGCCAAGAUCCCAUAGACUGCACAAAACAACGUUACAAAGAUCAUAUCAACUAAAAAUUUGGAAGGAAGAUCCUCAUAUGCACUAAAGAAAACAGUUGAGAGAGUACAGUCAGUUUUCAACAUUUUCAUCUUCAACAAUAAAUAAUAGAAACCAAGUAUCCAACAUUAUCUAAAAAGAAGUUUUAGAUAAAUAAGGAUCAUUUGGAAAAGGAUGCAAAACACAAUCCUUGCAAUUCUGCUAAAAGUAAACCUAGACAGAGCAUGCUCAGAAGCAUGUGAAAGACACUUGAGAGAGGGAGAGAGAAGAAGAAGAAGAAGAAGAAGAAUUUGCUACCGAAUCAUGGAGUCAGACGACCCUGAUAAGCAAAACCUGCAAAGAGAGAUUAAUAAGUUGUUCAGACACACUAAAAUAAAUUCCAAAUGCUUGCAGCAAUAUCAUAGAAACAGAAAAAACAACAGAAUUCUGUGUGUUUGUAGGGCAGGGUUAUAAAGCCAAUAAGCAUAUUGGAGAGGUUUGUACACGUGUAAAUAUCCUUCAUCAUAUUCCAACACAUUUACAAAUAAGCAGGGUAUUCAGGCAAUAUUAUCAAUACAGUAGAGUCUUACCAGUAGUUAUAUGACCAACUUCUUGGUUGAACUUAAAAGCACUGUAAUAUAGCUAGAAGCCCAGAACACACUACCAGCUUUAGGCUCAUGGCAAUAAGACACUGUUCAAUUGUCCAAUGGUGCGUAUUAUAACCUUGCAUGUAUGUGUCUUUAUUAGACUACAAAGGGCAUUGUAUGAGUUAUUACUAAAAUUCAAACCACCAAGGUCACGACACUGUAGAGACGGGAAGAAAGGGGGAAAGAAAAAGAAAAACUAUCCUUUUUUUUAGGAGACAACAAGAACGGUUUUCUGGCCCCCAAUCAAUUUAUUGAGGGAACAAACUUAUAAUAGUGGUGCAGGCAAGACCCCAGACAACAUCAUUGGUAACCAACCCCAAAAGUCUUUUUGCCAACUAAACAAGCUGGGACCCAGGAAAAUACAUUUAUUACCAUAAAACAAUCCAUCAUUCUCACGUGGGAGUGACUACUUAAAUUUCACGGUUGCCCUGCACUGGAAAAUCACAUUUACAUGAGAUGAUCUACAUGAAUAAUUAUAAUUUCAACAUUACAUUGAAUAAUUUCAUAUUAUCUCUACAUAUGAUGUUGUAGAGAUGUUCUAUUAAUAUCACACUUUAGGUUUAUAAGCAUGCUGUAUGAACCACAGAAUGAGUCCAGACUUUUAUUGGAAUACCGCAUUUAUGCAAGAUGAAUUCAGGAAGAAAGGAGGAAAAAAAAGAAAAACUAUCUUUUAAUCUUUUUUGAAACAGCAACCAUGGUCAUUGAUCAUUGAUACCCAUUUUUCUUUACCAACUAAACAAGCUGGCACCCAAGGAGGGAAAAAGACUUUAUUAUCAUAAAACAAUCCAGCAUUCUCAAAUGGUAGUGAGUAGUGACUAGUUGAAUCUAAAGGUUGCCCUACACAGGAAAAUCACAUUUACGCAAGAUGAUCUACAUGAAUAAUUAUAGUUUCAAUGUUACCAUGAAUAAUUUUAUAUUAUCUCUACAUAUGUUGUAUAGAUAUUCCCUAUUAAUAUAACAUUUUAGGUCUAUGAGCAUGCUGUAUGGACUGCUGGACCACAGAAUGAGUCCAGGCUUUUAUAAGACUAUUGCAUUUAUGCAAAAUGUAUUCAGAUUAUGUCAAGGAAACAUGACAGCUGAUAGUCUCAUAGCUGAUAGAUUAUUCAAACCAAAUAAGAUCCUGCAAUACUUUGACUACAAUUUGAAGCAAGGUUUUAAAUCCUGUGGGAUGAGGCUGUCCCAGUUUUCCCAUGGAACAGGAUGCACCGCCAUCCCACCCUAUCCCGAUACUUGGGGAAGGGGAUGUCUUAAGUUGUCCCAAUCGAGACGCUGAGAUGUUGGGACGCUAGCGAAACAGCCUUGUCCUGACACAUGAGAUGGCACCCCAUCCAAAUUUCUCGCAGGACAUCUCGUCGGGACCUUAAUCCUUGACUUAAAGCAUGAUGGAAUUGUAAAAGCAAUUAUUUUAAUAAUGGUUUUGGCUAGCUUUAUACUUCAAAUGUUAUUACUAUUAAUGAGGCCAUAUUGGACAUGUCAACAUGACUUUGAACAUUGUUGUAUUUAAGUUCAUUUAUGUGUCUUUAGUGAGUAUUUAAAGCUUUCACAUAAUUUUGUAUCAUAAAUAUAAUAGGCUUGCAACUAAGGAUAUUCAAGCACAUCUUGAUGUAAAAGACUUCAAAAAUAAAUGUUUCCACAAUUUAUGUGAAAGCCUCUUUCAAGAUAAAUUCUUGUUCAUAUAAUCUAAAAAUAAUAUUCCCCAUGAGAUCUACAGUUUUAUGUCCAGGUGAAUUCAUUCUUUUUUAGGUUGAUGGCUUGAGAAGAAUCAUAUGGUUGAUAUCAUGAAAAUAAUAAGCUCUUAUAUGCUUAAAAACAAAUAAGUCUUUAAUAGGGGGCUGAACUUCAAUGAGUCGACCUGAUAAUCAAGGCCCACUUCGUCUUAGUAGCCUGCAGAUUAUAUGAAGCAAGCCUCUUAGGAUUAUAAGGACAAGUUUGAAUCAUAUCCAACGAGAAUUUCAGAAACAUUAAAUAGUUCCCUAGUUGGCAAAUAUUGUGAUUUGAAUUCCAAUCAACUUAUCUUGUUAGGAUAUGAAAACAAUCCAAACCAAUUUGAUUUACAGAUUCAGUGGAAACAAAGCACAAAUACAAACCUUCCAGUUGAAUCAAGAAGCAAUGCCCUGAUGUUAUCAGUAUGCCCUCGUAGUUUCAUAUUCUUUGAACCAGUUCUUGGAUCCCAAACACGUACAACCUAUAAAAAAUCACUAAUAUUUUAAGAAACAUAUUCUGCAGAAAUAUCAAACAAUGGUUUUCAAUAUAACUGCCACAAGACGUAAUAAUAAAACUAUAAAAAAUGUAGCUAGAAAACCUGCAGUUUCCAAGGCCAUCCAAGUACUAUGUAAGCUAACACAAUAAGAAGAAGAAUCUGAACUAUACCUUUUCAGUUCCACCUGAAACAAGCAAGGUUCCACUAUCAUUCAUUGCAAGGGCAUAAACUGACUCCUUAUGGCCUUUGGCAGCAAUUGGACUAUACCCAUGUGAUUGAUUGUUAUGCACAGAAAUGUUAUUGCUUGUAUUGAUACAGCGCAAACUUGUCAUAGGAAUCCCAGUGCUUCCAUAUGAAAUUUCAUCUUCUGUUGCAUCAACAGACUUAGCAAUUGGUAGAAGAGCUGCCUCGAUAUCCCAUAUGAAGACCUCCCCACCAAGGCCCCCAGAGGCAACAAUAUUGCUCUAAAAUGCAUGGUGUUGAACAAGAAUCAGAAAUCUAGAUAUACAUGGUGCAUUGUGAUUAUAAGAAGUAAGAAAUUAUUUACACAUGGAAAAUUAAAAAAAUAUUAGCAGAUAUUAAAUUGCAUGCCUAAAAAGUCAGCUGCUUGCGCAUUAAGAAAUUAUUCAAAAAUAAAAACAUUACAUUUUUUUCAGCCGCAGCAAGACAAAUAACAUAGUCAGAAUGUUGACGAAGCGUUCUCAUACAAGUACCAUCAGAUAAGCAAUUCCAUGUCUGGAAAAAAUAUAUACAUACAGAUUGAUAUGGUGAAACAUAAUGUACUGAUUGCAAAAUGGCAAGAGUUUACUAGAGGAUAGGAACCUUCACAGUGGUGUCCGAUGAACAUGAAACAAGAGUGUUACCAGCCAGAACAGCAUCAUUAACCUGCAUUAUAAAUAUCAAAUACAAGACAGCAAAAGAAGUGUGAAAUUAGUUUACUUGAAAAUUGAUGGCAUUAUCCUAGAUAAACUAAAAAAAGAAUUAUCUGCACAUAGGCGUAUAUAUGACAGCAAAACAAAUGUAUAGAAUCUAUCAAUGAAUCUUGAUUCCUAACCAACAUAGAUUUUCAUGAAAUUUGAUUUUCAAAAGUAGUUAUAUGCAAAUUUUUAUACAUCUCAUAGCCCUACCUGUCAUGUGUCAGCAUGGUCAAGUGCUGUGACAACCAUGCGCCUAUCAUGUGCCAGCGGUCCAUUCAGAUAACUAGUGACAAUCAUGCAGAGCAACACUAAACAGCACCGGCAAGCACACAAGAUACAGGGAUACAAACCACUCCACCUUGUUAUGCACUUAUGCAUGAUCCAUAGGGUCUGGCCCAAUAUAGCAAAGUGCCAAAAGAAGAUGUAAAUGAAGCAUAGUUUGUUAUAUCAUAUCAAAACUUGGUAUUUCAUUUCUCAAGUGGAAUGGUAAUGAAGAAAACUGAAAAUAUAUCAUAGCCAUUAUGUUGGGAUUAUAUGACAACGUAUAUAUCUGAGAGACGGUUGCCAGUGUGCCGGGUGAGGUAUGGGUCCAACUUGAACCAGAACCAACCAAAACUUUUUUCAUGUCCAAGAUUAAGACUCAAACAAGAAAUACCACUGUGCAGGCCAUGCUCAGUUCUAAUCUCCUUCAGGCCAGUUUGGUUGGAUGUAGGUUUGAAAGGUUAGAUCUAGUUUUUUUAGUUAACAAUUGUCAGGCUGAAUCAAAAUCCGUUUGGGUCACUUCCAAUUAUUUGAGAUCCAUACUCAACCCACAUUAAGUUUUUAUUUAAGACCCAUGCCUGAACCAUGGAUCUAAUUUUCACAUAUGGACUAGGUCUAAGUUUGGAUACAACUUAGAACUGGGCCUGUGCAACCUGAUUGCAACCCUGAUUUGAGAUGUAUGUAGUAUGCUACAUCAACCAUUCAACUCCUUAGUUUAGACUCUUUCCAAGUAUAAAGGAUAUAUAGGAGGCCUGCCCCAUGUUGGAGGAAUAAACUAUGUAUGCAAGAAGAAAUGGGAUUCUGCAAUGGUACAUUUUAGUCUUAACCAUCCAAUGAGAAAGGAUAAUUUCAUAACUUACUUGCCUCACUGGGUGAACUGCUCAGGUGUGAAAGCCAGCAGAGGAAUAUUUUGGAACUUCGGAUCCUCUGCCAAAUACUAGCUGAUGCGGGAAGGGUGCCAAUGAUCAAGCAUGAAGAGCAAUGGUCAGAUAAUCUCAACAAGGUUGCCAUUAGGGACUAGAAGGCACUGCCAAGGAAACAAACCCUGUUUGAGAAGAUCCAAAUCUAUGACCAUCCAUACACUUCCGUCUCAUGCUUCAGGGACCAAAUCAAAAGCUGCUCUUAAUUCUUUCUAGGUUGGCAAAAUUAAGAGCAAAGGCCAUCUUCAAACUAUGCUUGGUGAAGCAUAGGCCUUGUUUGGUUGUGUGGCAUUGUUGGUGACUAAUAAAUUCCCAUCUUCUCCGCGGAAGCUUUUUUUUUUUUUUUUUUUUUUUGGGCGGGGACGGGGGGGACUGGCGGAAAGAUUUUGUCAAUUAGGUAAAACUACAGCAUUUUGAUAGAAGUAGAGAUCAAAGAAGUGACCACAAGAAUCAUCAAAAGCAGAUUUGCAUAUUUGGAAGAUGAGAAUGAGGUCUUGGGUAGAGGUAGCAUCCAUUUGCCGUCUGUCUUCUUCUCUCAUUUUCUUCCUUCAAAAACUUCAUACAGUACCCAAGGUUUGCCAGAUCGUCUUGAACCGCCCAAUUCAGGGCAUACUGCACCAAACCAACAGGAAACUAGGAUGAUUCAGCAUUUCAAAAUAGUAUAGAAGGUCCAUAAUGGCCUAGUUCACCAGGUCGAACCACCAAGACUCUUAUAAAUCCUCUCCCCACCUUUCCAUCAACCCCAAACCCAAACCCUCUCGAGCCUCUGUCUCCCCCCUCCCUUCUCAUAGACAAACAUUGAUGCCCGAUGACAUUCUAUCCUCUCUCCAAUCUGUCCACCUCGCUCUCCUGAGUUCGAUGGCCUGCUGCCCUACUUCGACUCCUCCACCAUUGCCAUGUCAACUACCAAGUCCCCUAGCCUGCCAGAACCCUUGUACCUUCCCCCAUCACCUCCUCUGUCGAGAAGUCUCUCUAGAUUUAACAUUAAAUGGCUGUACCGGCAUCGAACUGACACCAGACUACAUAGUACAUACCAUGUAUCAGUACGGUACCUGACUGCAUGGGUCAUGGUAUCGAUUCCGUGGACCUUGGCACUGCCUUUUUCUUUUUCCAACUCUGGUGGGUGCUAAAAAGAUGGAGCAACAAGAGUCUUGACCCAUUCUCUCCAAAGAGAAGAGGAAUGGUUUAAGUCAGCUUAAUAACUGAAUUCGAUGAUAAAGGCCACUCUCUUUCAAACGGAGUGGCAGAGUCCCUUAUCCGAGGCUUUUCUCCUAUAGAGACCUAAAGAGAGAAAAGAUAUUUAAAAGCCCUCUAUUUUUUAAGAAUUAGGUAAAUCUCAUACCACUAAUCGAUCCCAUUAGGUUGACAAUGGCACAUCCAGUUUCAGCUAGUUAAAGCAAAGAACAUAGGCCAUUGGAUCCAAAUAGAUGUACGAAGAUGCGAAGAAAAAUGUCCCAUGUAAAACUCGAAGAACUGUUGUCUUUCCAAAAUACCUAGGAUAGGUCCGACAGCAAGCCUCAAUAACCCGGCAUUGAUUGGCAACAAUGGCAGUAGGAUGACAGCUAACCAUAAAGUUGAAAAAUUUAACUUUGAAGGAUCAUUUUACGAACAAUAAAUCCCAACCUUUAUAGAAUGGAGACACUAUCAGUUUAUGUUUAGGGCUUUAGGCUUAAAAAGAUGACUUAGAGGAUAAAGGUAGAUGAUAAAAGGAGACAGCAUAAAACUUAAAAAUACUCAAAAUCAAGGAAAUGUUCAAAUUUCUUGUCUUUGCAGCAAAAUAAAGAAGCUAUGUAUUUGCACUAUUAGACUUUUAAAUUUACCUGGGCCUUAUAUUCUCUACGAAACAAAACCGGCAAACCUUUCAGAGAAGCUUUAGGUAUAGGGCAAGUUGGGUGAUGAGAAACUCAACUCAAUUAAGCCUUAAUACCAAACUAGUUGGAGUCAGCCACAUGAAUCCUUUUCCUCCAUUCCACUCUAUGUAGGGCAUAGUUGGGGAGGUCAACUUUAACUGGAAAGAUUAUCAUCUAUUAAUAUCUUUCAUAUUUAAUUUACUUAUUAGCCUAUUUAAGCCAAGAACUUGAGCACAUAUUUUGCACAUAAAUGACAUAUGAAAUCAGAUAGUAAAGAAAAAGAAAAGAAAAGAUGUGAAAGUGCUCUAUAAAUAAGAUUCUUAUUCACCAAUUUUGCAAAGCAUAGAGCUUAUUAAUUAUAAAAAUAUUGAACAGAUUUGUCAACUCCAUCAAAUCCAUUGAUAGAGAUAUUCAAAGAAACCUAGCAGCGGGACAUGUUGGAUGAAACUCAAACUAACCUAAUGCAUACACAUGUCUAAAUAAGACUCUUUCAGAUAGAGAAAUGCCUGCAAUAACAAACACACAAUUUCCCUAAUAAACUGGAAAUGAUCUAACAAAUUUUGAAACAACGUGUCAAUGACAAGACCCAACUGACCCCUCCAAAGUAGAGGGUGCCGACUAGCUCAAUUGGUAAAGUCGCUGGAUUUGAUGCUUGUGACAUGGGUUCAAAUCCUGCCCUCACCCAAGUCCUCCCAUCCUAGUUCUCAGAGAGAGAGAGAGAGGGAGAGAGAGAGUAUGUCACAACAUGGCCACAUAUGAAUGCCUAGUUCCAUUAGAAUAUGGACCUCUGAUAUGAUAGGUUUUGUUUGCGAUUGUAGCUCCACACCACUAUUAGUUUCUUUGUCUAGCUGGCCCACACAUUUCAACAUCAAAUACUAUUGAGUACCUCAAAUAUUGCUUAUUCUUGCAUAAGCUUCCUAGUGAAGACAUUAAAUAUUUUGUAUUUGAUCAUGUCUAAGCUCCCCUUUUUUUUGUUGUGAAUGUCUUCGCAAACAGGUGAC